Molecule: long non-coding RNA, 58738 nt
Filed under: Olea europaea (common olive)
Lineage: Eukaryota; Viridiplantae; Streptophyta; Magnoliopsida; Lamiales; Oleaceae
Description: long non-coding RNA (OEUR_LNC005740)
Source: RNAcentral
GAAAGUUCAAAUUAUAUUUGAUUGAUUUGUACAUCUUCUAAUAAAGUGCUUAGAUGGCUUACGUUCAAAUGCUAUUUGUUGCUACUUCGUAAAUAGUACUCUUUUUGGGAUAUGUAUUGCUUUUCUGAUAUUUAUUUCUUUGUUUUUAUUGCAAAAAAAGAUUAAGUAAAGAUGAAGAGGAGAAAUUCUACGCAUAAGUGUGGUUGUGCAAUGGAAUUAUACUUAAUUUUAGACAAUCAACGGAAGGGUGACUAAAAAAUCACUGUUAUAUUAGGUUCUUUGCUUUAGUUUAUGCCAUUCAAUUAACUUCUUUUCCAAAUUUGAAGAUACAUUUGUUUGUUUACUCCUUUCGUUGUUUCACCGUUGGCCUUUAGCUAAAGAAACAUACUUGGUUUCUCUCCUAUUGCCGAUCCCUGUGGUCCAAUUUAACAAUGUGGUUAUAUAAAGUCCUCUUGAUAUUUAGUCACAUUUCUUCCUUUAGCAUAUGAGAAAAUUACGUUCAAUGUUUUGGCAAUAAAAAUGGAUUUGCUUUUGAUUUGAUGUCUGGAUUCCAUGGGUGUAUUAUUUCAUCAGUAAUGUGUUUCAAUUAAAUCUGUCAUAUCAUCAUUAUACAUGCUUUACAUGAUUCAAUAUCCUCUAGUUUCUAUUGUGCUUCACAACCUAUGCUUUGCUUGCUAUCGUGUACAUCGAUAGGCACUACUUCCACUGAACUAUUUGAUAUUCUAGGAAAGGAUGAUUUGUGAAUUUCCGAACUAGGUCAUUCCAGUGAUGCAGCUUGGUGGAUAUGAGUCCCACAGUUCUGUGGGAUUCCAAUAAUUGCAAAAAAAAAAAAAAAAAAUGUGAUAGAAGAGACAAAAAGUGUAGCACUAGGUCGUGCGAACUUCUUGAACAUGUUGUGCAUUCGUUGUUCCACAGGAAAAAAAUGUUAUUGAGUAUAAAUAUUAAAAAUUCAAUGUGCUACAAAUUUCAUAUGAGACGUAAUUUUAUAAUAGUUACCCGACUAUUUAAAAGGAUCUGAUCGAUUUCUGUCCAUGGAAACUAUAAUGAAUUUAUGGAAAUGUGUCUGAUUCAAAAAUUUCUGAUGAGACAAUUUUAUGUGUGUUACGUUACUAUUUAAACACAAUUUUAUCAGUUUCCGUCAUUGACAGCAAAAAUUAUAAUGAACAUUCAUUUAUUGUCCACCCAUUGCAUAAGACUCAUGAUCUUAUAAAUUGACUUUUGUUCACCCACUAUUCAAAAAUGCAAACACAGUUUCAUGAGUGUACAUUAUUAUUUAAAAAGAGCUUGGUUUGUUUUCAUAACUGCACUGGUAAUUAUAAUAACGCACAAUGCAUGGGACUGACUUAACUUUUGUAGAGAUAGUCGUUCAAAAAUUCUAACGAGAUUCAUUUUUAUGAGCGUUACAUGUCUAAUUAUUAAACGAUUGGUCAGUUUUCGUUAAUAAUAGUGCAAUGAUAUGAGCAGGCAUUUAUUGUCCCCUAAACGUUUUGUCCCAAAUUUUAUAAAUUGAUUUUUGUUUAUAUGGUGGUCAAAAUUUUUGAAUUUGCACAUUUUUAUUAUUUUAUAAAUUUGAUUUUAUUUCCUUUUACAUUUCUCUGUUAUUAUUCAUGUUUGAUGUAUGAGAUUUUCACGUUGUAAUUGAUUUUGGAGUAAUGUUUGAAAUUACGGGAUUUAAUGUUUAUGUUUGAUUUUCUCUCCUUUUUCCUUUAAACCAUUUCACUCAAAUUCGUGCUCCAAUUGAAAAUAUGUACUACAAAUUUACGAGUGCAAAGGAUUACGCUUCGGUUAUGAUUGAUGGGCACUUUAUUUCCGUUGCACACUUGAAAGAAAAAAUACUUGAAUCAAAGCACUUGGGUAAGGGUAAUGAUUUUAACCUCAUUGUCACUAACGCCCACAAUAAUGAAGGUUGGUUUGAUUAUUAUAAUUUUUUUUAAGACUUUUAAAUCUGCAAAACAAAUUCUGGGCUUGUUAAUGGUUACGGUUCCUCUGAGUGUCAUUACCGUCCUCUAUUUUAUUGUAUUUCAAAUGAGAAUAGAAAAAGUAUUAACUACGUUAAGAUCAUUGAACUUUCUUCUAUGUAAUUUUGAAUGCCAAUAGUUUUUCUGACAACUCUUGUAUGCUAUUAUUGAAAGCCAACUAAUAAAGCUAGUCAUUUAACUUACGUUCUUCGAUUUGUGUCCUCUAUAUAUUGUGGUUGGGCACACUGUAAAGAUCAUAGGCUUUAUUGACGUUUAUGGUUUUCUCAUUAGUUCUCCUUUGUGAUUUUUUAUUCUUAGAGUAUAUUGCAUAGUCAACGAGAAAUGAAGAUUGUCAAUAAUCAAGUACAUAAUCGGAAGGGAGAUCAAUGGUUUGGAGGCAUAUAUUGAGAACGAUGCAUUUGAUAAUAUUUGUAAUGGUGUAAUUAUAUGAUGCUUUUAAAGUUUGAAAACACGUAGGCCACAAUUAUGGUAGUGUAUUGACUUAUUUUCAUUAAUGUUAUGUAUUUUUAAAAAAUUGCAUUAAAUUUUUUAUCCCACAAUAGAAAUGUCUAGCCAGCCAUAGCGUUCAUGUGCUGCGCAUUCUUAGUUCAAGAUGAAAAGUUAUUGAGAGAGUAUUUGCUUUAAAAUUCAAUGUUCUGGAAAAAUUUCGAAUGAGACACAAUUUUGGAGUGUUGCAUACAUGACUACUACUCGAAAAGUGUUUUGUCUUUUGUAUCUUCGAAUGUACAACUAUAAUGAGCAUGCAAUUAUUGUUUACUCAAUGCAUGGGAUCCACGUUCUUAUAAAUUAACUAUUGUUUAGUUGGGUAAUCAAAGAUAUCAAACUAACAUGUUUUGAUGAUCCAUAUUUUUAUUUAAAAGAAGGAAUAUGAUGUUUGUUCAGACUUAAAGACAUGGAAGAAAAAAAAGACUAAUUUGGCAGCAGAUGAUCGAGUGUUUGUUAUUUUUAUUUUUCAAACAGUCCAAACAUAUCAUGUGUUGACAUGUGUGCACCUUAUUUUUUAGCCUAUUUGUGUAGCAUAAUUCUAAAAAGAAUCUUGUUGGUUUUAAGGGCUGUGCUACUUGGACAAUCCCCUGUCCAAAUAGGGGGCAAUGUGGCAAAAAUAUUUGUUUAUAUGGUGGUCAAAAAUUUUGAAUUUACCCAUUUUUACUGUUUUAUAAAUUUGAUUUUAUCUCCUUUUACAUUUUUAUGUUAUUAUUCAUGUUUGCUGUACGAGAUUUUGAUGUUGUAAUUGAUUUUGGAGUAAUGUUUGAAAUUAUUGGAUUUAAUGUUUAUGUUUGACACACUCCUUUUUCCUUUAAACUAUUUCACUCAAAUUUGUGCUCCAAAUGGAAAUAUGUACUAUAAAUUUAAGUGUGGUUUUUCCUCUUGGACAAUCCCCCGUACAAAUAGGGGGCGACGUGGCGUCUCCUAUUGGCCAGGGUGUCUAUGAACACCCAUCUAUUGUACACAAAAGUACGGGACCCACAUAACUUUAGUUUGGACACAUAAUCAAAUUUCAAAUGAGAUGUGUUUUUAUGAGUGUUACAUGUCUACUUAAAAAAGAUUGAUCAGUUUCUAUCAUUAAUGGUACACAUACAAUGAAAACGCACUUUUACCCACUAAAUGCAUAGGAUCCACAUUUUAUUUGUUGAUUUUUCUUCAUAUGGUGUUCAAAAAUUCAGAAUUUAAACAUUUUUAUAAUUGUUACGUGACACUAUUUAGAAGGGUUUGGUUGGGUUUUCCUCAUAGAUGGUGCAACUAUAAAGGUCUUGAUCUUGCCUUUGACCCGCCACCGGGGCCGGCCCUGAGAAUUUAGAGGCCCUAGGCGUUUAAUUACUAUGGGGCCCCUCGACACAAAAUUUAUUUUACGAGUCCACUUUUAUAUUAGUAAACAGAAUGGAAAAAGAAAUGUUUCUUACACUUAAAAAACUAAAAAUAUUUCAAAAAAUAUGAAACAUAAUUAGAGCACAUUUAUCCAAAUUAAAUUCGAAGAAAAAAAGAAGAUGUAAGAUGAUAAGAAAAUGAACUAAAUAAUUUAUAAGAUGUACUUUCACUUUAAUAAUAAUAACUUCAUGUAAAUUAAAGCUUAAAUCUCCGGUCUAUACAUUUUUCACCUUUAGACUCGAUGCUAAAUAACUCAAUAAUCUUUUUUGCAGCUUCAUUACUUUUACUUAAUAUGGUGUCAUAAGUGCUUAAAGAUCAGGAUUAUAUCCAUACAUAGACACAUAUCUAUAGAGAGAAGGAAGAUUGCCAAGAAUCAAAAUCAAAAUGCUUAUACAUAAGCUUUUCAAAUCCUUGUCCCAACUCCCAAUCACUUGUAAAUGCUUUCUGUAUGAAUCAGUCACAGUGCCAAUUUUUUUUCUUUUUUUUAAGAGAUGAGGCCCCCUAUAAUAUGAGGCCCAAGGCAGUGGCCUCACCUACCUUGGGCCAAGGCCGGCACUGCCCGCCACAACUCAAACACCACUUGAUUAAAAUGACAAUUAUCCCCUUUAUAUUAAUACUCGUCAUACCCCCCCCCCCCCCCCCAAANNNNNNNNNNNNNNNNNNNNNNNNNNNNNNNNNNNNNNNNNNNNNNNNNNNNNNNNNNNNNNNNNNNNNNNNNNNNNNNNNNNNNNNNNNNNNNNNNNNNNNNNNNNNNNNNNCCUUUUUAAAUAAACCCCCCCUACCCCCCCCCCCCCCAACAAAACUCUUUGUAUUCAUUGUCUUUAUAUCUACAAAUUUCUAUCAUAAAUUCAAACUAUUUUUCCAAGGCUCAAGUACUUUCAAUCUUACUAUCUAAACUAAAAUAUUUCAAUUUCUAAAAUCGAGAAAAUACAUAUAAAGUCCUAGAAAAUCUGUGGACAGUUGUAUAUACAAAGUUGUCGACAUCAAAUGUGAUGAUGGUGUCUACAUCACGACCCAAUCACGAUCUUCCUAGUACCCUAUUACAUUAUUUUACCAAUCUCCAAUCUCAUCUUAGGCUUUCAAGUCUAUGAGCAUGGAGGAAAUUCUCAAGAAUAUUUACUAUGAUUCAGAGUGUUUUGCUCUGGAUAUAAUGGGGUUGCUAGUCUUUGAGUUGGUGCUAGAGGUAAAUUGAAGAUGAUGAGUAAUUGGAAGGACUACAAGAAAAUCAAAAACAAAAUCAAUCAACCUAAGUAUGGAGAUAACGUGCUCCAAUUUUGCAACUUUAGCAAGAGGGAAGUACUUAUUAGAGACUUUCUAGACUAGAUCAUUCCAGUGGUGCAGUUUUGAGGAUGAGUCCAGCCACUCUCUUUGAUUCUAAUCUGAUUUUCUUUAAAUUGCAAAAAAGUUAGAAAAGAGACAAAGUGAGAAGACAAGCCUGGGGUCAUUACAUCGUGCAUGUGUUUUGCAUUCGUUGUUCAAGAGGAAAAAAAGUUAUUGAAAGAAACGGCUCUUGUUUUCUCUAUUAGGGGUUAGAUCCCACUAUGAUCUCAUUUUCGAUUAUUAAAAAUUAUAGCUAGAUAAACUCCCGAACUGAACCGAGAAGUUCGACUCGAUUCUUCUUAGGUUAAAUACCUGAAUUAGUACUAAAAUCAAGAACCAACUUGUUUAUUUUAGUUCUUAGUUCUAGACUAAUAACCGAAAGUCCCUAAUUGUUGCUAUCUUUUUUUUUAUUUAUUUAAACAAGCUAAAUUAUUUUAUUUUUUCGAAUAAAAUUUAUCAACUAAGUGAUUAACUUAAAGUGCGCAAGGCUCCAACUCUCAAGUGCUAACCGAACUUAAGCCCAAAAUAUUUUUUUCUACAAAUUUCAAUCGUAGGUCAAAUUCACUUUCACCAUUCACAUAACACUCAAUCAUUUUGUCAUUUAAAUUUAGCCAUUGCCCUUAUUUUCAGCCGCUCUCCAAUCACAAGCCUCAACUUCAUCUUUGCUUCUCAAGAUUCACACGAGACCAUAUCAUCAAAUCCUAUAUUUUCCCACAUUAAAUCUUUUUAGUUGGACAACUUUUUGUAUAUUUAUGUUUUUUAAUUGUGCUUUUUCAAUUAUUUCUUGUAGAGUUUCUUGGCGUGACAAGUCAAGCAUUGGAUGAUUGAUUUAAAUGGUUAAUUAUCACUGGUAAUAAUUAAAAUAUUUUAUUUCUAUAACUCUUAAUUUAUAUUUCAGUUUCUAUAUGAUUUGAAGAAAAUGAAUCAAUGAAAUGGAAUUAUCGAUAUUUUAGCGUUACUUUUUGGUAACUUGUAUGCAUUGGUGAAUGGAUCUUAGUAGACAACUUGUUAUUUAUAUAUUUUAAAAUUGGACUAUGUUAUUUUGUAAAAGUUUAGAUUGAACAUAUCAUUUGUUGGAUUAAUGCAAUGUUAUUGUAAAUAUUAAAAAAAUUUAAUUAUUUUACAAAACCGUAUGGGACCAACCCGGUUCGGUUCCUUCAUUACAUUUGGGCUCAUCGGCUCUACUUACUAAAUACCUAAAAGUUCUAGUCCAGGCCUAUUAAAAAUGAUACGAAGUACUCUUGAUACUUUGUCACAUUUCUUUCCUUUCCCAUAUGAGAAAAUUACAUCCAAUGUGCCGAUGAUUAAGAAAGUAGAUGUCCUUUCGAAUUGAAAUCUGAAUUUCUAUUUCUUUGGUAAUCUUUGUUUCCAACAAAUCUCAUAUCGUCAUUAUACAUGAUACAGCAUUCCUUUGUUACUAAGAUGUGCUUUAUCAUAUCUAUAUGUUUUACCUAGUGUAAUAUACAAUGACUUGCACUACUUACACAUAUAUUGGACAAUUAGGGAAAGGACGAUAAAAAAAAUUAUUGUUAGAUUUUGUUCUUUGCUUUAGUUUAUGCCAUUCAAGUAGCUUACUUUACAAAGUUUAUGGAUACAUCGUGUUAGGUUUUAACUUGUAUUGAUUAUUCGUUAGACAAAAGGAUUUUUAUAAAAGAGGGGUAAAAUUAAUUGGUUAGUUGUUUAUUUGGAUAGGGAGUCUUGGAGAUCAGUUAUUGAACAAGGAAAAUCGAUAUUGUACUUUGGUCGGCAUGCUGCUUAAGCCUUUCUCAAGUGGCUGCAUUACAAAGUCAAUCGAAAGUUUGUCGCUCGACUAUAGCUCACGGUUUGGUUGACUGUUGCUCACCUUUCGCUCGAGCGACAGAUCAUAGCUUGCUAACCGUUUGCUUUUUGCUCAAGCAAUUGGAUUAUCUGGGAAAAACCUAGUUCGUGUGUUUAAUCUGUUCUCUAAUUCUAAACAACCCCAAACUCUCCAAACUAUAAAUAACAAACCUCUAUUUCAUCCAGAGGUUGGUUGAUCAUUGUUUUCUACCUUCAUAACUCCUUUGGAGAUCAAAUAAUAAUUCUACAUCUUGAGAUCAAUCAACCACAAAUUGGGUCCAAAACAACCACUUCCUAAAUAUAAUCAGGAUGGUACUUUCUCAAUAGUUUUAUGAGGUUUAUGAAGAUUGAGGGUGGUUGGAUCAAAAUCAUAUGAAGAGUAUGAGAACAAGGUAGUUUUGGUGAUCCACAAGAGAGCAAAAGACAAUUCUAUAAGAUCGGGAGUUGGUGUGAGUAAAGCAUGUUUUAGUUGGUUUUGGAGAUUGCAGGAAUUAGAUCAGUUAGUCUAGUGUGUUUUUUAGACUAAAUAAUACUGUAAGUUCUUAUUGGCUAUAACGGAAGUCACUGGCUUGAUCCCGAAAUUUUUAAUUCCAUGAAGAAUUUUUUCCAUCAACAAAUCUUGUGUCAUUUACUGCUUUAUUACUAUUGUACCAAUUCAAAAUAGGAUAAAAUCGACUUGAUUGACUAAACAUUUAGAAAAAUUAAAAGGUAAAUUAUUGCUUUUAAUUGAUAAUUUUAAUUCCACAUUAUUUACCUAUUCACCCCACUUUAGGUGAUUUUAGAGUCGAACUGGUAACUUUCAAUAGGUAUGAGAGCCUCAAUUCGAUUCUUGACACUAACUUAAUCCAGAUGAGCCAGUCUAUUUUCGUGCUUCCAUAUUUUGGCAAAAGCAAUUACACCUAUUGGAAGGUUAGAAUGAGUUGAUUUCUAAAGUCUUUGGUUGGAUCAUCCCUUCUACUACUGAUGCAGGUGUAGUCACCCCUACAGAGGUUGCCACUUGGUCUAAAAUUGAGUUAGAUAAGUGUAACUAGAAUAAUAAAGAGCCUCAUCCCCUAUUCAUGGAUAUGUCCGUCGAAGAGUUUAGGAGAGUAUCAAUAUGUGAAACCGCAAAAGAGGUUUGGGAUAUCGUAGAGACCACAAAUGAGGGAACUAAAAUUGUUAAGAAUUUCAAACUACAAAUGCUGACCACUAGGUUUGAAGAAAUUAGAUUGAAGGAUGGUGAAUCAUUCGAUGAUUUCUAUGCAUACUUGAAUGACAUAGUAAAUUCUAGCUUCAAUCCAGGUGAGAAAGUUUAGGAAACGAAAAUUAUGAGAAAAGUACUUAGAUCCUUACUCGAGAGAAUUAGGCCUAAAAUCACGGCUAUCGAGUAGAGCAAGGAUUUAGAUACAGUUAAGAUUGAAGAAUUAGUUUGAUCUAAACAAACUUAUGAAUUCAUCGUAUUUCAACCUAAGAAGAACAAGUCUAUAGCCUUGAACAUUGUUAGAGAAGAAAAGUAUGACUCUACUUACACAAAGACAAUUAAUGAUGAGGAGAUAGUUUAUUUCGUUAAAAAAAAUUUGAAAAAUGUUUCAAAAUAAGAAAAUGCCUCAAGAGAGACAUAGAGGUGCUCUAGUGAGAGACAUAUGGCCUUUUCUCUCCUAUAAAAAAUUAUCUUUCUUUUCUCUAUUGUGGCUCUACUGUUUUUACUCACAAUUAGCCACCUCACUAUCUUAUCUCCUACUCUCAUUUUGCUUCUUCUUGCUUUUCUUUUCUUCCUCACCUCUCAAUUUCAAUUAAUCCUUGUAGACCUAUUGUGGUGUUAAAGGUACAAAAGUAACGGCUCUCCCAUCUUUUACAAAUUUGUACAUAUUUUUGAAUCCAUCAUGUUUCACCUUUCUAUCAUACUUCCAUGGCCUACCAACAAAAUAUGCCUAGCGUGUAUAGAAACUAUAUCACACAUCACAUCAUCUCUAUACCUCCCAAUCAAUAAAUUCACCAAAACUUGCCUACUUACCCUAACCUCUCCUUAUUCAUCUAGUUUUCAAAGAAUGUUAUGAAGGUAGAAUAUAAUGAUCAACCAUCCAUUUCACGAAGUGGGGCAUGGGUAUAUAUAGUAAAGAGGUUUCGGGAAGUAUAGGCUAGAUAAACUCUUGAAAAACACAAGUUAGGGUUUCUCAGGAAACACAAUCACUCGAGUGAGAACCCAACAAUAGAUGCUCCGCUCGAGCGAUAAGCAGGCAGAAGGCUAGUGACAAUGUUAUUGUUUUGGACGCUCGAACAACAAUCUGGCAGCGGGCUUGCAUAAUUUCAGUAACUUUUUUCUUCGUUCCAUAGACGACCUGAAGAAUUCCUAACUCAUCUAUGCAAUCUACCAACAGAUUCCUUGACUUUUACAACUCUUUUAAUAAUAAUCCUUUUGUCUUAAAAAUAGCUAAUACAAUUAAAACCUAACAUAAAGUAUUCUUGAUAUUUAGUCACAUUUCUACCUUCCCCAUCCGAGAAAAUUACAUUAAAUGUUUUGGCGAUAAAAAUGGAUUUGCUUUUGAUUUGAUGUCUGGAUUCCACGGGUGUAUUAUUUCAUCAGUAAGGUGUUUCCAUUAAAUCUCUCAUAUCAUCAUUAUACAUGAUCUACAUGAUACAAUAUCCACUAGUUUCUAUUGUGUUUCACAAUCUAUGCUUUACUUGUUAUCACGUAUAUUGAUAGGCACUACUUAUUAUUUGGCAUUCUAGGAAAGGAUGAUUUGUGAAUUUUUGGACUUGAUCAUUCCAAUGAUGCAGCUUGGUGGAUAUGAGUCUCGCAAUUCUGUGGGAUUCCAAUAAUUGCAAAAAAAAAAAAAAAAAUGUGAGAGAAGAGACAAAAAGAGUAGCACUUCCAUGGGUCGUGCGAACUUCAUGCACACGUUGUGCGUUUGUUGUUCCAUGGGAAAAAAGUUAUUAAGUACUAAAAAUUCAAUGUGUUAUAAAUUUUGUACGAGACAAAAUUUUAUAAUAGUUACACGACUAUUUAAAAGGAUUUGAUCGGUUUCUGUCCAUGAAAACUAUAAUGAAUUUAUAGAAAUGAGUCUCGUUCAAAAAUUUCUGAUGAGACAUAUUUAUAGGGAGUGUUACGUGCUAUUUAAACACAAAUUGGCCGGUUUCCAUCAUUGAUAGUGAAAAUUAUAAUGAACAUACAUUUAUUGUCCACCCAAUGCAUAUGACCCAUGAUCUUAUAAAUUGACUUUUGUUCGGCCCAGUAUUCAAAAAUGUCAAAUAAAACACGUUUUGAUGAGUUUACAUUAUUUUUUAAAAAGAACUUGGUUUGUUUUCUUAAUUGCACUGGUAAUUAUAAUGAACGCACAUUUAUUUUAUGCCCAAUGCAUGGGAUUGAAAUAACUUCUAUUGAGAUAGUCGUCCAAAAUUUCUAAUGAGAUACAUUUUUAUGAGUGUUACAUGUCAAGUUAAUAACCGAUUGGUCGGAUUUCAUUAAUGAUAGUGCAAUGAUAUGAGCAUGCAUUUAUUGUCCACUAAAAGGUAGAUUUUAUAAAUUGAUUUUUUUUUCAUACGGUGGUCAACAAUUUUGAAUUUGGACAUCUUUAAAAUUUUAUAAGUUUGAUUUUCUCUUCUUUUACUUUCUACGUUAUUAUAUAUGAUUGAGGCAUGAGAUUUUGACGUUGCAAUUGGUUUUGGAGGAAUGUUUGAAAUUACUGGUUUUAAUGUUUAUGUUAGAUUUUCUCUCUUUUUUUCCUCUAAACCUUUUUAGCCAAAUUUGUGCCCGAAUUGGAAAUAUUUACUAUAAAUUUAAAAGUCCAAAGGAUUACGAUUCAGUUAUGAUUGAUGGUCACUAUUUCCGUUGGACACUUGAAAGAAAAAUAUUUGAAUCAGAGCAUCUGGGCAAGGGUACUGAUUUUGACCUCCUUAUCACUAACACCCAGACCAGUGAAGGAUGGUUUGAUUCUAUAAGAAUUAUUUUUAGACUUUUAAAUCCUUAAAACACUUUCUGGGAGUGAUGAUAGGCACGGUUCCUCUGAUUGUCAUUCCCGCCCUCAGUUUUAUUGUAUUUUAAAUUAUAAUAGUAAAACCAUGAGCCAUUUAGGUUAUGAUCAUUGAACUUUCUUCUAUGCAGUUUUGAAUGCAAACGGUUUCUAUACCACCUCUUGUAUGCUAUUACUGAAGGCCAACUAAUUGGUGAUUAUAUAUUGUGAAUAAAUCUAGUCAUUUAACUUACUGGACUUUAUUGAUGUUUAUUCUUUUGCAUUACUUCUCCUAUCAGAUUUUUUAUUCAUAGACUAUAUCACAUAGUUAAAAAGAAAUGAAGAUUGUCAAGAAUCGAUUGCAUAAUCAAAUGGGAGACAAAUGGUGUGGUGGCAUUUAUUAAGAACAAUGUAUUUGACAAUAUUUAUAAUGAUAUAAUUAUAUGGCAUUUUUAAAGUAUGAAAAUGCAUAGGUCACAAUUGUAGUAGUCUAUCAACUUAUUUUCGUUAAUAUCACAUUUUUUUUUAAAAAAAAGUUUCAUCUAACACAAUAGAAAAUGUCUGGCUCUUCCAUCGUGUGCCUGUGCAUUCCUAGUUCAAGAUAAUUAAAAAAUAUAUAUAUUGUUAUUGAGGGAGUGUCUGCAUUAAAUAAUCAAUGUCCUGCAAAAAAUUCAAAUAAGACACUAUUUUUGGAGUGUUACAUGACUACUCGAAUAGUGUUUUCUUUUGUAUCUUCGAAUGUACAACUAUAAUGAACAUGCAUUUUUUGUUUAUCCAGUGCAUGGGAUCCACAUUCUUUUAAAUUAACUUUUGUUUAGUCGGUAUUCAAAAAUAUCAACUAAAACAUGUUUUGAUGAUCUACAUUAUUAUUUAAAAAUAAUUUGGUUAGUUUUCAUCAUUGACAGUGCAAUAAUAAUGAGCACCCAUCUGUUGUACACCAGAGUACGGGACCACGUAACUUUUGUUUGGCAUCUUAGAAUGGGGUAUCCCUCUAAUCAAAGAAUGAAUUUACUACAUAGCAUAGACCCUAGUAUUCCUAGUUUUGAUGCAAAAAAAAAAAAAAUUGUGAUGCUUGCCAUAUGGGAAAACAGACCAGAUUACCGUUUUCCUCUAGGCGCCAUUUUGUAGAAGUUGUUUUUUAUUUAAUAUACCUUGAUAUUUCGGGCCCUUUUUCUUUUGCAUCAUUGAAUGGAGCACAAUAUUUUCUCACAAUAGUUGAUGAUCACAGCCGACAACAUGGGUUUAUAUUAUAACAAACAAAAGUCAAACCAGAAACAUCAUUGGAAGUUUCUUUAACCUCAUUGAAAAUUAGUUCAAAUGUAAAAUCAAGGCUAUAAGAUCUGAGCAGGGAAUGGAGUUUAACAUGACAUAAUUUUUUUUUUCAAAAAAGGGAUUGCUCCACUAACAAAGUUGAGUGUACACACCACAACAAAACUCAGCAGUCGAAAGAAAACACUUGCACUUCUUGAAUGUAGCAAGUGCUUUGCGUUUUCAAGCUAGCCUACCUUUAAAAUUUUGGGGAGAGUACAUCCUAACUACUGCUUAUCUCAUAAAUAGGACACCCUCACCAAAUUUGAAAAGUUAAAGUCCUUACUAGCUAUUUUUUGGUAAAACACCUGACUAUUUUCAUUUAAGAACAUUAGGAUGUUUGUGCUAUGCAUCAAAUCUUGAUCCCCACAAAAAUAAAUUUGAUCAUAGAGCCCAAAAAUGUGUGUUCAUUGGAUAUCCAAAUGGAAUGAAAGGUUAUAAAGUUUUUGACUUGAAAACAAGAGAAACCAUAACUAGUCGAGAUGUGAUCUUUUAUAAAGACAGAUUUUCUUUUCAGCAAAACCACAACUUGUCUUCUCUGUUGCCUACACCAGAAAUCACUACUUUAGAUGAUGUCCCAGUUAUACCAAAUCCCAUCUCAGAGAGUUUUGAUCAAACGAGUGACAAUUCCCAUUUUUUGCAAGAAACAACACUUGAAAUUGAUAACCAUAAUCAUGAGGAAUCUCCUACUUCAAAAGUUAUCGAAUUGUUUCCUCUCCCAUCCUUUGAACCAUCUUCUAUCCAAGAACCCCGUAGAUCCACUAGAAUCAGAAACAGGCCCAGAUACCUUAAAGAUUUUCAUUGCAGGUUGGUAACUUCGGGUACUCUUCCUUAUGAUAUAAUAGCUCCUAGAGGUAACAAAUAUUCUCUUGCUUCAAUUCUUAAUUAUUCUAAACUCUCACCUAUGCACUUGAAAUACACUCUAUCCAUCACCCUUGAGUCAGAUCCUCACACCUUUGAAGAAGCUAAGAAAUUCUGACAUUGGAGUGCUAUGAAUGCUGAAAUUCAAGCUCUUGAAGCAAAUGAAACAUGGAAACCGACCAACUUACCUCCAGGGAAGAAAUCAAUCGGUUAAAAAUGGGUCUAUAAGACCAAAUAUAAGGGAGAUGGUAGUAUUUAAUGACACAAGGCUAGAUUGGUAGCGAAGGGCUACACUCAACCAGAAGCAGAAGAUUAUUUUGAAACCUUCUUCCCUAUUGCCAAGAUGCCAAUAGUGAGAUGCCAUCUGUCUAUUGCUACAUGUAAAAACUGGUCUCUCCAUCAUCUUGAUGUUAAUAAUGCUUUCUUUUAUGGAGAUUUGGUUGAGGAAGUAUAUAUGAGUGUGCCCCCAGGAUAUGGAAGAGAGUGGGAGCAACGAGUAUGUAGGCUUAAGAGGUCUCUUUAUGGCUUAAAGCAAGCCUCUUGUCAAUGGAAUAAAAAACUCACAUCAGUUAUCAUCAAGAUUGGUUUUAUCCAAUCUAAAGCAUAUUAUUCACUCUUUAUCAAGAAAACUGAUUAAUCUUUUACCGUAAUGCUUGUAUUCGUUGAUGAUAUGGUGAUUGCAGGAGACAAUGAAGAAGAAAUAUAGAAACUGAAGUAAUAUUUGACUGACCAUUUUAAGCUAAAGGUCCUUGGAAAUUUGAAAUAUUUCCUAGGCAUAGAAGCUGCCCGUUCCAAGGAAAGGAUUUUCAUUUGCCAAAGGAAAUAUGCCCUGGAAAUUCUACAAGACUCUAGACUUCUUGGUGCUUAAUCUGUCUAAUUUCCCAUGGAACAAAAUUUGAAACUAAAUGGUGAACAAGAAUAAGCCAUGGCUGAUCCUAGACAGUAUAGAAGACUAAUAGGAAGGCUGCUUUAUCUAACAAUAACUAAGCCUCAUAUAUCAUACUCGAUACAAGUCCUAAGUCAAUGUCUUAAGCAGUUGAAAGAUGUACAUUGGAAGGCAACAUUAAGGGUAGUAAGAUAUGUUGCAGAAGCUUUCUUGAAAGAUCUUCAAAUUCGUGAUUUCCGGGCUUAGUCCAACGCACUUUUGUCAACUAACAACUAAUCCAAUCGGCUCCAAACCACAACCAAUUGAUUCACCAUGGUUUCUAUGCAAUCUUACCCACAUAGGAUAAUAAAGGAUGAUGAUUUAUGGCGACAAAGGCUAAGGAAAGACACCACAAAGGUAUACUAUGAAAGAACCACCAACUGCACAUGUUAUACAAGCACUCUAGAUAUCCUUUUUCUCACAUGAAAGGGGACAGCAGCGAUUCUCUUUUUCUUCUCUCAAAAUCACACAAAACAUCAUUAGAAAGUGGCUAGGGUUAUAGCCAAUUGUGCAUGUGGCUCAUAUAGAGUGAAACACAGGUCCUGGAUCAAAUGGGCUGAUGACGAUGCACAGCGGAGUGGAGUGAGAGGAGCGAUAGCAUCGGUCUUGCAUGAGUUUAAUUCACUAUCUAGUUGUUAGGGACGUUGAAUGGGUUGGGGGUGUGGGGCAACGUCACCGCGGUACGGUACAGGGGUAUUUUUUGUACGGGCCUUAAAGUCUUAUAUGGGCCCAAGCUAGGGUUAGUAUAAAUAAUAUGUUGUAACCCUAUUUUUCACCACUGUAUAAAGAAAUCUCCAUUUUGCUCUCGUGGACGUAGGCACACUGCCAAACCAAGUAAAAUUCUUGUGUUGAUUUUCGUUUUCAUCUCUUUAAUAUUGCGCAUAAAAUCCAACAACUGGUAUCAGAGCCAGGUUCAGAUGGCGAGUUCUUCAAUUGCAAAAUUUGACGUGAUGAAGUUUGAUGGAUCUGGGAACUUCGGAUUAUGGCAGCGAAGGGUGAAGGAUUUGUUGACACAGCAAGGGGUGGUGAAAGCACUAUUUGGAAAGAAACCAGAGGGUACGUCAGAUGUUGAUUGGGAAGAGCUCGAGGCACGAGCAGUUGGUACAAUUCGACUUUGUUUGGAGGACAAAAUCAUGUAUCACGUCAUGGACGUUGAGUCUUCGACGGCGGUUUGGGAAAAAUUGGAGAGUCGUUAUAUGUCAAAGUCUCUCACGAACAAGCUGCAUCUGAAGCAGCAGCUGUACGGGCUGAAGAUGUUAGAGGGUACGGAUUUGAUUCAACACACCAAUGUGUUCAAUCAAAUCAUCAGCGAUCUAUUAUGACUUGAAAUCAAGUUUGAUGAUAAGACAAGGCAAUGAUUUUAUUGUGCUCACUUCCUCUUUCAUACGACCAUUUGGUGACCACGUUGACAUGGGGGUAAAGAGACUCUUGAAUUGGAGGAAGUUACAUCAGCUCAAUUAGCCUACAACCAGUGAAAAAUGUAUAUUGGUGAAACUUCAUAGGGUAAGGGGUUGAUCAUAAAGGGCUACUAGACUCGUGGGAGAAUGAAGGAUAGGGGUGUUUCUUUUAGAGGGAACACAAGAUCAAAAUCUAGAAAUCAAAAUAAGAAAAAUGUCAAGUGCUACAAAUGCCAUCAGAUGGGCCACUUUAAGAGAGACUAUCCCAAUAAGAAGCAGAGUGAUGAAAGGAAAUGUGAUGGGUCCUCAAACUCAGGUAGUGUUGCAGAAGGAGACUCGGAUUCUAGAGAUGGAGACAUGUUAUCAGUCUCUGUAGGUAAUUCUGUAAAAUUAAAUGACUGCUGGGUACUUGAUUUAGCCUAUUCAUAUCACAUGUGUCCUCACCAAGAUUGGUUUCAUUCAUAUCGUUCUGGUAAUUUUGGAUCUGUUCUGAUGGGUAAUGAUGCAUCUUGUAAGGUCAUUGGAAUGGGGUCCAUACAGUUUAAAAUGUUCGAUGGUGUGCUAAGGACCUUGGAAAAUGUUAGGCAUGUACCUGAGUUGAAAAAGAAUCUAAUUUCUUUCGGCACUUUAGACACAAAUGGUUACUCUUAUAAGUCAUAGUGUGGGGCUUUAACAGUGAAGAAAGGGGCUAUGAUUGUAAUGAAGGGUCAGAAAUUAGUAGGAAAUAUUUACAAACUACUCGGGGAUACAGUUGUAGGCGGAGUUGCUACAACAGAAUCUGAGUCAGAUGACACUCUUCUAUAGUAUAUACGACUGGAGCAUAUAGGAGAACGUAGCAUGGUUGAGCUUCACAAGAGGAAUUUGUUGAAGGGGGUAAAAUCAUGCAAGCUAAAUUUUUGCAAGUUCAGUGUACUUGGAAAACAGUCCAGAGUAUAGUUCAAGAUGGGAAAGCACAAGACAGAGGGCAUUCUUGAUUGCGUGCACUCAGAUGUUUGGGGACCAGUGAGGGAGUUGUCCAAAGGUGGAUCUCAGUAUUUUAUUACUUUCAUUGAUGACUUUUCUAGGAAGGUUUAGGUAUAUUUCAUGAAGCACAAGUCUGAAACUUUUGCCAAGUUCAAAUUAUGGAAAGCAGAAAUAGAAAACCAGAUGGGCAGAAAAAUUAAGUAUCUGAGGACAGAUAACGGUACAGAGUAUACAGAUUCACAGUUUUUGAAAUUUUGUGAGCAUGGUAUUCAGCAGUACUAUACAGUUCACAAGACACUGCAACAGAAUGGUGUAUCGAAAAGGAUAAACAGAACAAUUGCAGAACGGGCAAGAUGUUUGAGACUGAAUACAGGGCUCUCAAAGAGUUUUUGGGCAGAAGUAGUGAACAUGGCAUGUUAUAUCAUAAACAGAUCACCACGAGUAGCACUAGAUGGGAAAGUUGCAGAGGAAGUUUGGACAAGUAAUGAAGUUGGUUAUUCUGAAUUGAAAGUUUUUGGUUGUCUGGCUUAUGUGCAUGUAUCUAGUGAUCAGCAAUCCAAACUUGAUCCGAAAUCAAGAAAAUGCAUUUUUCUAGGCUAUGUAAAAGGUGUAAAGGGAUACAACUUUUGGGAUCCAGAGGCAAGGAAAAUGGUGAUAAGUAGGGAUAUAGUAUUUGAUGAAGCAUUCAUGCUUAAAGUUUCUACAGAUAAAGAGAAGCUCAAUUCAGACGAGGGCAGAGGUAAGACCCAAGUGGUGCAAGUAGAGCUAGAAAAUGUUAACACAGAAAUUAAUGGUCAGGGAGCAGAUAGUUUUGGGUCAUAGGUGGAGCAGUAUCAUAGUGUUGCCUUAGAUAGACCACGUCGCACUAUUAAGCCAUUGGUAGUCAGGAGAAAGGUAAAUGGAUAGAGGUUAUAACAGAGGAAAUUGAGUCACUGCAUAAAAAUGAUACUUGGGAUUUGGUGAAACUGCCAGAGGGGAAGAAACAGAUAGGGUGUAAGUGGGUGUAUAGAAAGAAAGAAGCAAUGUCAAAAAAGGAAGAAGAAAGAUACAAGGCUCGAUUAGUAGCAAAGGGAUACUCACAAGGAAGGGAGUAGAAUAUGAUGAAAUUUUUUCCCCGAUCGUCAAACAAACCUCCAUCGGGAUUAUUUUGGCAAUGGUGGCUAUUUUGGAUUUGGAGUUAGAGUAGCUGGAUGUGAAGACUGCUUUUCAUCAUGGUGAUUUGGAGGAACAGAUUUUCAUGGAGCAACUAGAAGGGUUCUUGGAACUAAGAACAGAGAAUCUUGUGUGUAAACUGAAGAAGUCUUUAUACGGGCUUAAGCAGUCUCCACGGCAAUGGUACAAGAAGUUCGACUCUCAUAUGAUUCAGAUUGGCUACAGUCAUUGUGAGUAUGAUUGUUGCAUUUACUACAGAGUUCUUGAGGAUAACUCAUAUAUUUUCUUGAUGUUGUAUGUGGACGACAUGCUAAUUGCUGCUAAGAACAUGGAUGAGCUAGACAAAUUGAAAUCUUUGUUGAGUAGUAAGUUUGAUAUAAAAGACUUUGGACCGGCUAAGAAAAUUCUUAGAAUGGAGAUCAACAGAGAUAGGAAGGCUAGAAAAUUAUGGGCGUCUUAGAAAAAUUAUUUGAAGAAAGUGUUAGAGAGGUUUAGCAUGUCAGAUGCAAAAUCAGUUGUUACACCACUGGCAAAUCACUUCAGAUUAUCUAAUAAUCAGUGCCCAAAGAGUGAAGAAGAAGUUACAGAGAUGUCAAAGGUACCUUAUGCCAGCACAGUUGGAUGUUUGAUAUAUGCAAUGGUGUGUAUAGACCAAAUUUAGCACAUGCAGUCAGUGUGGGUAGUAAGUAUAUGGCUAAUCCUGGUAGAGAGCAUUGGAGAGCUAUAAAGUGGAUUUUCAAGUACUUGAAAGGUACAAUGGAGUGCAGGAUCAUGUUUGAGAGACAACAUGGUGAUAUUUCAGUUCAAGGAUAUGUAGAUGCAGAUUAUGCAGGGGACUUGGAUGACAGAAGGUCCUAUAGAGGUUAUGUUUUCACACUCGCAGGUGGGCCCAUAUGUUGGAGAUCAAUGGUGCAAUCACUUGUGGCAUUAUCUACAAUUGAAGCAGAGUACAUGGCAGCAACUAAGGUAGCUAAGGAAUUAUUUUGGUUGAAAGGGCUUGCCAGGGAACUUGGGAUCAAGCAAGAUGGAAUGAACCUGUACUGUGAUAGUCAGAGCGCCAUCUUCCUAGCUAAGAAUCAGAUUUAUCAUGCAAGAACCAAGAACAUUGAUGUGAGAUUUCAUAAGAUAAGAAAGUUAAUUACUUCAGGAGGGCUGUUGUUAGAGAAGGUACAUACCUAAGAGAAUGCAGCAGACAUGAUGACAAAGUCAAUCACAGUGGAUAGGUUCAAGCACUGCUUGAACUUGAUUAACAUCUCUAGGUGCUAGAGAGGAUGUGUCCCAACCCAUUGGUCCUAGAUGGUGUGGUUUUUUCUAGGUUAUGUUUUUUUCCUACGGUGUGGCUCAUAUAGAGUGGAACACAGGUCCUAGAUCAAAUGGGCCGAUGCCAGCGCGGAGCGGAGUGGACUGAGAAGAACGAAGCGACGGCAUCGACGUUGCGCGAGUUUAAUUCACUGUUUGGUUGUUAGGGACGCUGAAUGGGUUGGGGGUGCAGGGGCAACCCCCUGGCGGUACGGUACAAGGGUAUUUUCUGUAUGGGCCUUAAAAUCUUAUAUGGGCUCAGGCUAGGGUUAGUAUAAAUAAUAUGUUGUAACCCCAUUUUUCACUAUUGAAUAAAGAAAUCUCCGCUUCGCUCUUGUGGACGUAGGCACACCGCCGAACCACGUAAAAUUCUUGUGUUGAUUUUCGCUUUUAUCUCUUUAAUAUUGCGCAUAAAAUCCAACAUAGACAAAUAUAUACUCUAGGGUUAGGCUUUAAGUUGGGCCGUUAAAGGGGUAAACGGGCCAAGAUUCAAGCCAUCCAUAAGGAAAUAAAAUUGGGCCGGAUGUAGCUCAUGGAUUUGGUUGUUGGACUUAUUUCAUUCAUCGGUCUAUGCUUAUGAAAUAAUAUUAACCCACGUUAACAUCAUAGCCCAGGAUUUAUUGGGUAUCAAAAACCCAACAAAUCUGCACCUUGAUUCCCAAUAAAUCUGCAAGCAAUCAAAACACACCGUUAAGACUUUCAUAAUCAGGGUAGCUAAUAAAAUUGGAUCACAGACCUUACCUCGUGUUUUCAACUUGAAACACAUACCAUACCUGCUCCAUGUACUCACUAGGGCUAAGGUUAAAAAACAUCCAAGUAGAAGCAAAUAUUUAACAGUAAACAAUCAAGAGCAAAUACACGUGCGAUGACGAUAAACUAUAGGAUAACACACACAGAUCUUUUCAGAAACAUGUUCACAUAGAACCAUAUAUUAACACCAAGUCAAUUAAACUACGGUCAACACAUGCAUAAAUGACCAUAAGAAAAGAUCUCAGCACACUUAUCCUAUCCCAUUCCGUGUUGCUCACACCUCCAGAACACAUAUCUCCUCUCAUUGCCCACCAAGCUCACUAGACAGAUCACUCAACUCAUGUCUAACUGGCAAGUCUCAAUAGAUCCUAGGUCCACGGGAUAAUCCUCUAUCUCUACAUCACUUCUUCCAACCUAUGUGGAUAAUAAGUCUCCACCUAAUAGAAGUGAUAGAAGUGCCUCUCUCACACUCCACCUGAUCAGGGUCUCUUUCCAGAUAAAGGAUUCUAGACAUUUUAUCACAUCUCCACUCGUGAUCCAACUAUCAUACUCCACAUCUUUGGUACAAACCACCAUGUACCCCUAGGCAUCUAUACUUCACCUUACCAAAAGACACACAACGCACAGCUAUGCAUCACAAACUCACCGCGGCAAAACAACACCUUUCGGUGACCGCAAAGGUUACCCUAAUCAUCAAAGCUCCAAAAAAUCCAUAAAGAAAAUGGCGAAGGUAGCACUCACAAUGAAAAAUCGAAGAAAGAGUCAGUUACUUCACAACAUUCACAAAUGAGGCUCACAAAGAUAAAGAAGGUAACCCUAACAUGGCUGCCUCACAUAAUCUCACAAACCACACAGGCUUACAAAGAUAAAGGAGAGAAAUGACUACCUAACUUUCUUCUCACUACCACACUCUCACACCACUCACAGAGUAAAUAGAGUACGCCACAAAACUUAAUUCACUAUGCAUGUAAACAUAUUACACAAAGUAAUAAAUCACUCUAAUUCAUGCAAUUACACACAUCAAACAUAUUGAAAGUGUAACAUCAACAUUGAUACAGAAUUAAGUGAUCAUAUACAUGCGGAAAGGAUUACACACAGAUGCGAUGCAGUAACCAAGUUUAUUCUCUCAAUAAACAUCAUUAGGAUCACUACUCGACCCUAAAGUCACAUUCACCUCAUCUCUAUUCUCAUAUUUCCUUUUAUUAUCAUCCUAAGACAAUCUCUUUCAACUAUACCCAAAUUUUACCACAGUUAAAACAUAUUUAAUUUUUCGCAUUUGUCUUAGACCUAUACAUGCCAACAAUACCAAAUGAUGACCACGAGCGAAGUAUUGACACAUAAUUCACACAGAAUAGUCAAGUAAACUUUCCUAAGGUCACAUCCAAUUCUAUCGAUGAAAAAAAAAAUUGGUUACAAAUUCACAGAUAAAUUAAGACAACUAAUUAACAAGCAAUUUCUAGGUCUAAUAGUAGGCAAUGGUUACCCCUUCACGAUAACCCCAAACCUAACGUCACAUCACACAAUGACUUCAAAUGCGCAAAAUAAAUAAUUAACUAUACAUUAAUUUUAACUGCAAUAAUAAAAGGAAAAGAAUACGAUACUGAGCGGACCACGUCUGAAGGUUCGUAAAUAUUGAGACAUGUGAAUUAACCACUUUAGGACUAUCACUAUUCGUCCUAAAGUCUUUGAAAACUGCAGCAACCAAAAAUUCACGAUCGAGUCCCGAAUGCCCGAAGAACAACGCUAUCCAGAUUCUACUGCGUACCCUGAAACAGAAAACUUUCAACACGAAAAAUGUCAAAAAUAAUAUGAGGAACAAAAUGCCUAAGGGAUCUCCUCAAAAUUCCCUCUCACGCGCCCUCAUGUGCGGAUCCUUCCCUCUAUGUGUGGGCCUCAUGCGCUGUCAUAUGCGUCACCGUGGAUCGACAUGUGUCAUUUUGUAGGGUUCAUCUCCACCUGCACAUCACGUUACUGGUCUUCGUUUUCCAAAACUCCUUCUGGAUUGAUCAGAAAAUGCGAAAAACAGAGAUUGAUUUUGACAGUUUUUGGACAGCUUCUUCGAUCCGAUUUUUGCUGCGAUUUCUAGACAUUUUUGGUAUGUUUCAUGAGCCAAAACCACCACCUUGAAGCUCUAAUACCAAUUAUUGCGGAAGUUCUCUUGAAAGAUCUUCAAAUCAGCGAUAUUCGGGCUCAGUUCAAUGUACCUUUCUCAACCAACAACCAUUCCAAUCGGCUCCAAACCACAACCAAUUGAUUCACCUUGGUUUCUAUGCAAUCUUACCCAUGUAGGACAAGAAAGGAUGAUGAUUUAUGGACAAAAGGGCUAAGAGAAGACACCAGAAAGGUAUACUAUGAAAGAACCACCAAUUACACACGUUAUACAAGCGUUCUGGACACCUUUUUUCUCACACAAAAGGGGACAGUCGGGAUUCUCUUUUUCUUCUCUCAAAAUCACGCAAAAACAUCAUUAGAAAGUGGCUAGGGUUAUAGCCAAAUAUAUACUCUAGGGUUAGGCUUUAAGUUGGGCCAUUAAAGAGGUAAACGGGCCAAGAUUCAAGCCAUCCAUAAGGAAUUAAAAUUGGAUUGGGUGUAGCUCAUGGACUUGAUUGUUCGGCUUAUUUUAUUCAUCGGCCUGUGCCUAUGAAACAAUAUUAACCCACGUUAACAUUAUAGCCCGGGAUUUAUUGGGUAUAAAAAACCCAACAAGAUAUUUGAAGACAUCCCCAUGACAAGGGUUGAUUUAUCCAGUAAAAAGUAAGCUACAGCUCACUACCUUUUGUGAUGCAAAUCGGGGCACUUAUCUAGAAACUAGAAGGUCCAUUAUCGAGUUUUGCAUUUUCUUUGGAGAUGGUUUAAUAUUGUGGAGGUCAAAGAAACAAAGGCCUGUGUCUAGGUCCUCUGCUGAGGCAGAAUAUCAAUCAAUGGCUACAACAACUUGUGAGCUGGUGUGGUUUAAAAGUUUGUUGAAUGAUUUUGGCAUAUCUGUUGAAAAAUUGAUACAAUUAUUCUAUGAUAAUCAAAUAGCUGUACAUAUUACUUCAAAUCCAGUUUGCCAUGAGAGAACAAAAUACAUAGAAAUUGAUUGUCACAUUGUGAGGGAGAAAAUACAGAUCGGUUUGAUAAUGAUGUUUCACAUCUCAACAAACUUACAAGUUGUAGAAGUAAUGACGAAGACAAUUGGUUCAAAGAAGUUCAAAUAUCUCUUAGGCAAGAUGGGGAUUUAUUCAAUUACAUCUCCAUCUUGAGGGGGAGUAAUGAGAUAGAUAUUUGAAUUAAAUAUGGCAAAAAACAUAGAUCACUAGAACAAGAAAAAUUGCCUCCAAGUUUUGUAAUUAAAAAUUGCCUGGAAGUUUUGUAAUUAUCUGUGUACCUUUUACAAAGGAGGAAAAAGCUCUACAAGUGAAGAAAUAGAGUGGUUGUUUUGCUAAAAAGGGAAUGCAUUAGAAUGAAAGAAAGUAGCUGUGUUAUUAGUCCUAUAGCUGUUAUGUUUAGUCUAUAUUCAUCUUUGAUUUUCUGAAUCUGAUUUUAAUAGAUAUGUAGAGCUCUCUCCUUGUAUAUUUAAAGUGGAGAACGCAAGGAAAUAAAACUUAAUCUUUACUUGUUCAUUGUUGGCAAUCAAUCAUUCUCUCUUCAUUUUUGUUACUUACGUCACGCAUGUGUUGUGCGUUUGUUGUUCAAGACGUUUCACAUCUCAACAAACUUACAAGUUGUAGAAGUAAUGACGAAGACAAAUGGUUCAAAGAAGUUCCAAUAUCUCUUAGGCAAGAUAGGGAUUCAUUCAAUUACAUCUCCAUCUUGAGGGGGAGUAAAGAGAUAGAUAUUUGAAUUAAAUAUGGCAGAAAACAUAGAUCACUGGAAUAAGAAAAAUUGCCUCCAAGUUUUGUAAUUAAAAAUUGCCUGGAAGUUUUGUAAUUAUCUGUUGACCUUUUAGAAAGUAGGAAAAAGCUCUACAAGUGAAGAAAUAGAGUGGCUAUUUUGCCAAAAAGGGAAUGCAUUGGAAUGAAAGAAAGUCGCUAUGUUAUUAGUCCUAUAGCUGUUAUGUUUAUUCUGUAUUCAUCUCUGAUUUUCUGAAUCUGAUUUUAAUAGAUAUGCAGAGCUCUCUCCUUGAAUAUUUAAAGUGGAGAAUGCAAGGAAAUAAAACUUAAUCUUUACUGGUUCAUUGUUGGCAAUCAAUCCUUCUCUCUUCUUUUUUGUUAUUUACAUCAUGCAUGUGUUGUGUGUUUGUUGUUCAAGAGUGCGAUAGUAUAUGUAUUAAAAAAUAAUAUUCUGUAAAUAUUUUGAACAAAACACAAUUUUUGGAGACAAUUCAGAAAAUGUUUUGUCAUUUGUAUCUUCAACUACACAAUUAUAAUGAACACGCAUUUAUUGUUAACCCAAUGCAUGGGACCCACGUUCUUAUAAAUUAACUUUUGUUCAGCCAGGAAUUCAAAAAUAUCAUAUAAAACACUUUUUGAUGAUUGUACAUUACUAUUUAAAAAGGCAUUUUUUUGGUUUCCCUCAUAGAGUGCAAUUAUUUUGAACAUGCAUUUAUUGUGCACCCGAUGUAUGGGAUCUACGUAUCUUUUGUUUAGACAGGUAAUCAAAUUUUAAAUGAGAUACAUUUUUAUGAGUGUAACGUGACUAUUUAAAAAAUAUUGGUCAGUUUUCAUCAUCUAUAAAGAACACGUAUUUUUAUCCACUAAAUAUAUAUAGGAUCAACAUUUUAUAUGUUGCCUUUGAACAUUUCAAAUUUUGACAUUUUUACAAGUGAUGAAUGACUAUUUAAAAAGUAUUUUGCAGGGUUUUCAUCAAUUUGCAACUAUAAUGACCAAUUUGCAUCGCACCAUACCCAUCGCACCUCCACCAACACUUGAUUAUAUUGACAAGUAUGCCUUUUAUCUACUCUAACAAACAGCCUUUAGUGCCCUCCCUCUGCCUUUUUCACUUUCUCUCUAUGUACUAAUCUUCUUAUAACUGCAGGUUCUUAUCAUAAAUUCAAAUUGUUUUUACAAUGUGGAUGCACUCUCAAUCUUACUAUCUGAGCUGAAAUUUCCAAUUCAUACUCGCCGUCGCAGAAUGACAUUUAGCAAUGUGUCAGGGCAAUACAUGUGACCGAAAAUGUCACGUGGUAUGACAAAACUUAACUCGUUCGUUUACCGUGAAACUAUAAUCUCUUCGUCAAUAUGAUCCGAUCAAUUACGCGAUAUGAAAGUGUGUUAAUCUCGAUUAUCGAUCAUAUCUUUCACUCCACUAUUAUGUCAAUAUAAGUCGAAAUCUCCUUUUCGACUUCUGAGUACACCUUGGCCAAGGAUUUCGCUAUCGGUUUGAUUGAAUGAAAAGCUGAUCAUAAUCUCUUACUAUCUAAGAGUGACGAAUCCUCUAUUGGUCAUUCACAACCUUCAUACAAUUCUUGACAUACCCGAGCGGUGCUGUAAUGGUGGCCCUUACCAAAACAACAUUCAACACCGUGAAAGCAUGAUUGUCCUUAUAUAAUGCACUAUGACGACCUCAAGUCAAAGGAAAAAUUUCACUACCGAAUGUUAGAGAUUAACCACUGACACUCAGAUAGUUAUCCAUGUGAAAUCUCUCGACGGGUCUCCAAUGUUUUGUUCUAUAACAAAACACUUUAGCUUGUGAGAUCAACUACUUACUUCAAAAAUAAGGAAUGUCACACGUGGUGGUUUAUCCAUAAUAACGAUAUCCUUAUCUCAUCAUUACUUACGACCAAGGAUGAUUUUAGAUUCAAUCAUAUGUAAUUUGUAUAUCACAAUCACAACUCCUUGUAAUUAAUUAUUAAAAUUUGAAUCUACGGACUCCAUUAUUUAAUUCAAUUGAAUAUUAAUUAAUUAAAUAAUAGAUCUUCCAUAAAUUACAUAAAUUAUAUAUUAAAACUGUUUAUGUCCAAGGUCGAUUAGACUUAGGGCAUAACACUUACAAAUCCCAUUUUGCAUUGUUAAAAAUGAUUCAAAGUACUCUUGAUACUUUCUAACAUUUCUUUCCUUUCCCAUAUGAGAAAUUUUCAUUCAUUGUUCUGGAAAAAAAAAGAUUAUUAAAGAUGGAAUAGUUCUGAAACCACCUUGUUGGACCGGAAGGCGACUCAGAAUUUGAGAUUUAAUGGUGUAAUAUGAAAUAUAUAAGAUCACAACCAAUAGAACAAGAUUAAAGUAAAGAAAUAAAAUAAGAACUAAGUAGAGGAAUCAAUAUUUUAUUAAUUUACAAUAUGAAGAGUACAAAGAACUUAGCAAUAUUGGCUUCACAAAUGUAGAAAAAUAGCCAAGUAUUUAUAGGGAAAAAUCCAUCCCUAUAAGUAAAAUUGUAGAUGAAAUAAAAUGACAAAAUUUUUCUUUUUUGAUCUCAUCAAGUCCAACACAAAUUUCAAUUCUCAAUAGGCUUUCACAUAGAACUUUAGCUAGAAUUUGUCAAUUAAACUUGAAUAAGAUUCCUCAAUAGUAUUCCAAUUAAAAUUCAUGCGUGCACUUCAAUUUGAACUCGACAAUUAUUUCAACUAGGAAUUCGAGUCACACCCAAAUUCGAACGACGAUUUCCUUUUGAAUUGAAAUCUGAAUUUCUAUGGGUGUAUUUUUUCUUUGAUAAUCUCUGUUUCCAACAAAUCUCAUAUCAUUAUUGUACAUGAUUUUGGAUAAUCUCUGUUUCCAAUAAAUCUCAUAUCAUCGUUGUACAUGAUUUACAUGAUACAGUAUUCCCGUGUUUCUGUAAUGUGCUUCACCAUCUAUGUUAAACCUUAUAUAUUGUGCAAUGACAAACACUACUUACACAGAUUUAUUACCAACAAGGAAUGGGUGAUCAAAAAAUCAUUGUUGGAUUUGGUUCUUUGCUUUACAUGAUACAGUAUUCCCGUGUUUUUUUUUUUUUACUUCCUGUAUUACGUGGUUCAUGCAACUACCUUCUUUUAUAUCUUGAUGUUGAGUAAUAUGGUUUAUUUAUGAUUUCUAGGUAGAAUUUUACAAGGCUUCAGGUAGAUAUGUUAAUAAAAAUGGAAGCUCACUUGUCACUUUCCUGUGAAUAUAUAUAUAUGUAUUAUUUUAUUUUAUUAUUUUAUUUUUUACGUUUGCAGUGUGCAAAAUUCUAAUCAACCUAUAUUAUGCCAGAAGGAGAUAUAGACGAGAUUUUUCAGGAAACAGCCGAUGGACAAAUAUUCUGGGUGCUCUUAAUGUGCAGAAUUAAAUAGGCGUAGAGAAAAGGGAACCCGCGUGGUAGGGGACAAACUGAAUUGAUGAUUCUAGACUAGAUCAUUCCAAUGACGCUUCUUGGAGGAUAUGAGUCCUACCAUUCUGUUUGAUUCUCGUCUGAUUUUCAAAAAAUCGCAAAAAAGUUAGAAAAGAGACAAUAAAUUUGGAGCAUGCAUGGGUUGUGCAUAUGUCGUGCAUGCAGGGCGGACCUGCAUGAGAUCAUGUGAGGUCAAGUGAUCCCACAAAAUUUUUUUAACUAUCUUUUUUUUUCUUUUGUUCCCCCAAAUUUUUGUUGUUGCCCUAACUCUGUCUUUGCCCUUACAAGUUUUGCCUGACUACUCACGGUUACUCUCUUUUACUUAACUUUAGAAUACAUAACUCAAAUUCAAUCUCCAAUUUCAAUCUCUAUUCUUCAAUCCAAAUAAGCCCUUCUUCUCCAAUAAUCAAUCUUUAUUCUUUAAUCUUGUAUGUAAUUUCACAAUUUUAAUUUGUAUGUUUGAUGUACAGGUUUUAUGUCUGAUUUUCUCUCAUUUUAUUUUUCUAUAUUAUUCUUCAUGAUUGAGGGUCUAAGAUUUUGAUGUUGCAAUUGAUUUUGGAGAAAUGUUUGAAAUAAUAGAAGAAUUGGAGGAAUCUUUGUCACUAAUGCCCAGACUAAUGAAGGUUGGUUUGAUUCUAGAAGAAUUUUUUUAGACUUUUAAUCCUUAAAACAAAAUUCUAGGGGUGUUAAUUGUUACGUUUCCAUUAAGUAUCAUUACUGCCCUCGCUUUUAUUGUAUUUUAAAUUAUAAUAGUAAAACUAUGAACCAUUUAGGUUAUGAUCAUUGAACUUCCUUCUAUAUAUGUAGUUUUGAAUACAAACGGUUUGAAAGCCAACUAAUUGGUGAUUAUCUAUUGUGAAUAAAGCUAGUCAUUUAACUUCUGGUUCUUAGAUUUGUGUCCUCUAGUGUGGCUAGUCUCAAGGUGUAGAGUAUAGGCUUUGUUGAUGUGUAUGGUUUUGUCAUUAGUUCUCCUACGUGAUUUUAUAUUCUUAGACUGUAUUACAUACUAAAAAAGAAAUGAAGAUUAUUAAAAAUUGAUUAUGUGAUCGGAUGAGAGAUCAAUGGUUAAGUGAUAGUUUGGUAGCAUUUAUUGAGAACGAUGUAUUUGAAAAUAUUUAUAAUGAUAUAAUUAUACUAUUUUUUAAGAUAUGAAAAUUCACUGGCUACAAUUUUAGUAGCGUAUUGACUUAAUUUCAUUAACGUUAUAAUGUUUUUAAAAAAAGCAUUUUAAUUUUUGAUCCCACAAUAGAAAAUGUCUAGAUGUGCCAUUGCGUGCAUGUGUUGUGCAUUCAUAGGUCAAGAUGAAAAAGUUAUUGGGAGAAUACGUGUAUUAAAAUCAAUGUUUUGCAAAAUUUUCAAACAAGACAAUUUUUGGAGUGUAACAUGACUACUUGAAAAGUGUCUUAUCUUUUGUGUCUUCGGAUGCACAAAUGAACACGCAUUUAUUAUUUACCCAAUGCAUGGGAUCUACGUUCUUUUAAAUUAACUUUCAUUUAGUUGGGCAUUCAAAAAUACCAAAUAAAAUAUGUUUUAAUGAUGUACAUUAUUAUUUAAAAAGAAUUUUGUUAAUUUUCAUCAUUGACCCUGCAAUAAGGCACCAAAGUAUGGGACCCACGUAACUUUUGUUUAGAUAGGUAAUCAAAUUUCAAAUGAGAUGCGUUUUUAUGGGUGUUACAUAAAUAUUUAAAAAAGAUUCGUCAGUUUCCAUCAUUGAUAGUAAACAUACAAUGAACGCACAUUGUUAUCCACUAAAUGCAAGGGAUCCACAUUUGUAUCCAUUGACUUUUGUUCAUAUGGUGUACAAAAAUUCUGAAUUUAAACAUUUUUACAAUUAUUACAUGACUAUUUAAAAGGGUUUGGCUGAGGUUUCACUAGAGGCAAUACAACUACUAUAAGGGCCAAUUGAUCUCGCCUUCUACCCACCAUAAAUCCAACACCACUUGAUUAAAAUGACAACUAUGCCCUUCAUAUUAAUACUCGUCAUAUCCCGCAAAGUUCUUUUUAUUUAGACCAGCAAACAGCUUUUAGGGCUCUCUCUAUCUCUCUGUGCUAAAAUAUUUCAAUUUGUAAAACCAAGUAAAUACUUAUUUAGACCAGCAAACAGCUUUUAGGGCUCUCUCUAUCUCUCUGUGCUAAAAUAUUUCAAUUUGUAAAACCAAGUAAAUACAAUUGAAUUCCUAGAGAAUUUGUGGACAGUUGUAUAUACAUCGUUGUCAUCAUCAAAUGUGAUGUGGGCUUUCGAGUCUAUAAGCAUGGAGGAAAUUCUCAAAAAUAUUUACUUAGAUUCGGAGUGUUUUGCUUUGGAUAUAAUGGAGUUGCUGAUUUUCGUGUUGGUGCUAGAGGAGAAUUGAAAAUGAAGAGUAACUGGAGGACUACAAGAAAAAUCAAAAACUAAAUCAAUCUACCUAAAUAUGGAGAUAACAUGCUUCAAUUUCGCAACUUUGGGAAGAGGGAAGUAUUUAUUAGAGAUUUUCUUGACUAGAUCAUUUUAGUGAUGCUGUUUGGAGAACGAGUCCAGGCACUCUCUUUGAUUUGGGUCUGAUUUUCUCUUAAUUGCUAAAAGAUUAGAAAAGAGACAAAAUGAGAAGCCCAUCCAUGGGUCAUUACAUCGUGCAUGUUGUGUGCAUUCGUUGUUCAAGAAAAAAAUGUUAUUGAGAGUGUAUAUAUAUAUAUAUAUAUAUAUAUAUAUAUAUAUAUAUAUAUAUAUUAAAGAAUCAUUGUUGUUGGAAGAAACGACUCUUGUUUUUCGUCUCAUAGUUCGACCCCACUGUGAUCUCAUUUUGCAUUAUUAAAAUUAAGGAUGGACAAAACUCUCGAUCUAAACCAAUUAGCUUGGUUCGAUUUUUCUUAGGUUAAAUUCUUGAAUGGGUACUAGAACUGAAAAUCAACGAAUUUGAUUUGGUUUACAAUCUUAGACCAAGAAUUGAAUAACCAAAUAAGAACCGAAUGUUCCUAAUUUUUUUUUAUAUUGAAUAAGCUUAAUUGUUUUAAUUAUUUUCUAAAUAAAUUUGUCAAUUAACUAAUUAAGUGAUUAAUUGUAGGAAAAUUUUCAUAAGUAAGAGAUUGAGUAUGACAUAUUUCAAAAUUAAGAAAAUAAGUUUUAAAUUUCACAAAUCAGAUUUUAUUAAAAUUUAUUUAUGAUUAAAUUAAUUAAUUAAUUAUUUUAUUAGUUAACUAUAUUUAAGUCACAGAUCUAUACAAUUUAGUCACAAAUUAACAAUUUAAUUAGUCACUUAUUAUUUUUUGGUCACAAAUUAAAAAUUUUAUAUCAAAAAUUAUUUUACGAUCAAAAUUCAAAAAUUUUUUAUGUCACAAUUUGUUCAUUGGACACAAAUCAAAAAAUUAAUUAAUCAUGAAUUAAUUUUUAGUCACACUUAUCAAUUUAUUGACCACAAAUCAAAAAUUUUAUAGGUCACAAAUUAUUUUUCCAUUACAUAUCAAAAAUUUUAUAGGUCACAAAUUAUUAUUCGAUCACAGAGUCAAAACUUUUAUUGAUCACAACUCAAUUAUUCAUUGAAAUUUUUUUGAUUAAUUGGCCACGAUUAAUUUUUCGGUCACAACUUAAUGAAUUGUGAGUCACGGUCACAAUUUUCAACUAAUUUAUUGGUCACAAACACAGUAAAGCACCAUCUUACCACCACCACAACUAUCUCACCCAUCCUAACCUACUUCGCCAUCGCCGCUACCAUACCACAUCGCCACCAACGACCACCACACAACACAAAAAUGCAUAAACCGAGAUAACACCACCUCGCCAUCGCAAAAAAUUGCCACUAUCUCAUCGGACCACCAAAACACAAAUGACCGCCACAAAUCCAAAAACCAAAAAAACACCACCACCACUACCCACACUACCGCACCACCACCAUCCCAUCACCACCACAAUCACCAUUUGCAAAAUCACAUCCAUCCCCACCCAACAAAUCAGAAACUUACACCUGCUUACUCAAAUCUCGCCUGACCACCACCACAUACCUUUAACAAAAUCGCUACCGAUCUCCCCAAUCUACCAAUAUUCCUUACCUCGCCAGCAGCCACUUUUUCAUAGAUCUAUCCACCUUCGUCUUCAUCAACAAUCCCAUAGCCCAAAACCAAUUGCACGAUGGCACCCGUCAUUGCUCCUUAUUGUAUCUACUUCGUGCAACGCUACUUGUUGUAUCUACUCCUCGCCACUAUUAAAUACUAUUGUUGAUUCGGGCAACACUCCUGCCCGCACUGUCAACGGUGGUCUCCCUCCGAUGUCUCUAUUUAGAUCCGCUCGCAGAGGCACAGUUGCUACUAGAGAUGACACUUAAUCUACUAUGAUGACUUCAUCGUCAUAGUGUCAUUAGAGUGAGUGGUCAGUUGCCGGAGAAAAAAUAAAAAUGGGGAAAAUAGAGAGUGAGUGAUUGAUUUGGGGAUGAAUUGAUUUAAUUAGAAAUGUAUUACUACAAUAUUAAAUCUUAGAGAAAAAAUGUAGAGGGAGAAAAAGUAAGUGAGAAAAUUAGGGUUUUCUGAUUUUUGAAUAGUAAAACUUUCCAACUGAUUUUAGAAUGUGGAAUUUUUAAAAUAUGGUAUUGUAUAAUUUUCACUUAAUUGUAAGUGUGCAAGGAUCCAACGUUCAAGGGCCAACCCAACUUGAGCCCAAAAUAAUUUUUUUCUAUAAAUUUCAAUCCAAGACACUUUACUUCACAAAUCACCUAGCACUCACUCGUUCUAUCAUUUAGGUUUAGUUAUUGCCUUAGUUUUCAGCUGCUCGUCUCUCACAAGCCAAGAAUUUAUUUUUGAUCCUCAAGAUCCACGUGGACCAUGCCAUCAAAUCCUAUAUUUUCCUAUAUAAAAUCUUACUAGUUGGACAAUUUAUAGUUUAUUUAUUUUUGUCAAUUGAGCCUUUUCAAUUAUUUCUUGUAGAGUUUUUUAGCGUGACAAGUCCAUUGAUUGAUGAUUAAUUUGAAUGGUUGACAAGUACUAGCAAUACUUAGAAAUGUUUUAUUUAUAUAACAUUUAAUUUAUAUUUUAUUUUUUUUAUGUAGAUUUGAAUUCUUGAAGCAAAUAAAUAAAUGUGAAAGAAUUAUCGAUGUUUUAACAUUAUUAUUUGCUUUUUGGUAAUUUGUAUACAUUGGUGAAUGAAUCUUAUUAGACAACUUAUCAUUUGUAUAUAUUUAAAUUUCACUUAUUUCGCAGGAGUUAAGAUUGAACAUAUCAUUGACAGGAUUAGAUCAAUGAAGUGUUAUUAUAAAUGUUAAAAAGUUUAAUUAUAGCAUUGAACCGAAUGAAAUAGAAUCGGUUAGGUUCCAUAAUCAAAUUUAUACUGAAUGGUUCCACUUACUAAAUAUCUAAAAAUUUUGGUUCAAAAAGAACUUAAACAUAUCAUGUCAAGGCCUAUAAAGAAUGUUCCAAUGUACUCUUGAUACUUUGUCACAUUUCUUUCCUUUCCCAUAUGAGAAAAACAUAUUCAAUGUUCGGGCGAUUAAAAAAAUAGAUUCCUUUCCAAUUUAACUCUGAAUUUUCUACUUCUUUGGUAAUCUCUAUUUCCAAUAAAUCUCAUAUCACCAUUAUACAUGAUUACAUGAUGCAGUAUUCAUGUGCUUCUCUGUUGUGCUUCACCGUCUAUGUACAAUGACAUGCACUACUUACAAAUACAUAUCAAACAAUCAAGGAAAGGGUGACUAAAAAAUCAUUGUUAGAUUUGGUUUUUUGCUUUAGUUAAUGCCAUUCGAGUAGCUUCUUUUGAAAAGUUACGGAUACAUCUGUUUAUUCCUUCAUGUAUUACAUGGCUCGGACUGUUAGUUUGAUGCCCAUUCUUUGAGUAAUGUUCUGUAAAAUCACAUUAUAAAUUUACGUUUGUUUAUUUGCAUGUUAUAUUUGAAGUGAUUGUCUAAGGUUCCAUGAUCAUAGAGGAUGUCAUAAAUUGUAUACUCGAUGGAUUGGGUAUAGUAAGACACAAUUUGUGAUGUGAUCAAAAUUAUGUCGUUUACAAUCGAUUCAUAAAGUUGGACGCUUUAUGUUGAUAAGAUUGUAUUGUUCUUAUUAAGAUUUGUCUAGAUCUUGAAAUAGGAACAAUAAUAUGUUUCGAUGCACAUUGAACGGGACCACCUAGAUGACUCAUUUGUGAUCGUUUGAAAUGAGAAUCUACUUGAUUAUCAAACAGGUCACCUAAAUCCUGAGUGAGUAAUAUACCUUUGAUUGCUAGUUCAAGUUCUUUGAGGUACCAAUGAGUGAAGUCUUAAAUAGAAGAUUGAUCUCGGUGCUUUGGGAAUCGGGCCGAAACAAUUAGAGAUCAUAUACUUACAAUAUUGGAAUCCAUUAAUCAUUGAGAUGAGAAGAUCGUCACUCUAAGGUAUUUUCCUAGGCAAAUUGAAUCUGACCUCAGUAGGUCAAUGAUGAGAUUGUUGGACUUUACAUUGUGAUUUGAUCACAACGAAUUUUCCGUAUGAAAAUGGGACUUAGAAGGUAAUGCAUGUUGAAGGACAAAAUGGUCAUUUUGCCAAUUUCAACAUAUUGACGGUCAAAUGGGGGAUCACUUGUGGAAUGAUAAUCAGAGGAUAUUAUUAUUGGAUCAUAAUUUACUUCUAUAACUAUCACUCGACUCGAGAGUGCAAUCUCAAUUUCUUGGUAGAAUAAGCCGAGAUUAAUAGAUGUAUCUCAAUUUGUCAAGAGUUGACUCAAUUGAAAACAUCUAUUGAAGCUUGGGUCAUGUGAGUCCAAUUAGGUCCCUCUCUUGGCUCUAAUAAAAGGUGUGUGAUUUAAUUGGCCUACUACAAUAAAGUCUAAGGAAAUUUGUGCAAUUUUCAAACCCUAAUAGAUUAUUAUAAAUAUGCACAUUAUUGGCAUAUUUUGGUGUGAUUUUAGGGUUAGCCACUUUUCACAUUCUCCAAAAGGGAAUAACACCUAGUGGAGAACAAGGGAGAAGAUCUAAGGGAGGAAACAAUUGGCUAGGCCAUUAAUAGCUCCUUCAAAAAGGUUAUCAUCUCUCCUUUCUAUAUAUGUGAGGAUUUUAUAAUCCAAUGAUCUCAAGGUCAAUUAAAUCCUUAUUUAUAUGAUUUUAGUUUUCAAAGGAAAAUUAAAUUCCUAUUGUGAUGAUUAAAAUUCUUUGACCAACACGGACGACUGUCAUUUAUUUUUGACGUGGAGUAAUAUUGUAAAUUUAUGAUUUCUAGGGAGAAUUUUCCAAGGCUUCAGGUAGAUAUGUUAAUAAAAAUGGAAGCCAACUUAUCACUUUCCGGUGAUAUAAUGCAAGUCAAUUUUAAUGUCAGGAUAUUCCUUCAAUUGGUUAACCUGCGAUACUUGUAAAUUUGAUGACGCCAGAAUUUGGUUGGUUUCAAUUCAAAUGCUGUUUAUUGCUACUUUGGAAAUAGUACUUUUUUUCGGAUAUGUAUUGCUUUUCUGAUAUUUAUUUCUUUGUUUAAGUUGCAAAAAAGAUUAAGAUUAAGAGGAAAAGUUCUAUACAUAAGUAUAGUUGUGCAAUGGAAUUAUACUUAAUUGAUAAAUUUUUCACAUUUCAUCCUUGGUCUGAACUGUAUGAACUAAAAUAUUUUUCAAUUUACAGGAUACAAUGUCCCCUGUUUCUUUGUUGUACUUCACAGUUUAUUCUAUUUUUUUUUCUUUUUUUUUUUUUUUUUUUGGUAAAAAUUUUCUUCAAUUAUACCCCUGUCCAGAAGAUCAAAAACCCUGAAAAAUAAUUAUACGAAUGGAAGUGUUACAUAUAUAUAUAUAUAUAUAUAUAUAUAUAUAUAUAUAUAACAGACUGUAUUGAAAGAUCAUUAUAUUCUUUCGAAAAUGGUGUAUACCCAAGCUGGCGUUUUCAAUAAGACUCAAAGUCCAGAUUGUAAUAUAAAUGCACAGAACCUACAUCGGCACACCCACCAGAAAGCCCGAAAUUGCCAUCGUAAGAAGCACGAACGGGCGCAGAAGGAUUAGGCAAAAAGAAAGCAGCCGCGAGCAUCGUUAUCUAUAUUUAUGACACCUCACGUGACAAGAUUCUUAUUAGUUAACAUUAAACUCAUACAAAAAAUAAAGGCACGGCUCAAUCUGUAAUAUCUCGAAAAUGAUUAUCAUUAUAUGUCCAUUACAUGCGUCCCCCAAGUAAUUCAAAAUUAAUGGUUUAAAUUGUUACUUGAAAAUAAUGGAGUUUAAAUCAUUAAGAAAACCAACAAAUACCAUUUGGUUGCUUUGCGUUUGGCCAUUGUUGUAAGCAACGACACUUGAUUUCUUUCCUAUCAUUCGAUCCCCAUGGUCCAGUUUGGGGAUAUUAACAAUGUAGAUAUCUAAAUUACUCUUGGUAUUUAGUCAAAAAUAUUUACUUUCCCAUAUGAGAAAAUUAUAUUCAAUGUUUGGGCAAAAAAAAAAAAAAAAAAGAAAAGAAAAGGAUUUGCUUUUGAUUUGACUCUGGGUGUAUUAUUUAUUUGGUAAUCUAUGUUUCUGUUAAAUCAUAUAUCAUCAUUAUAAAUGAUUUACAUGAUACUAUAUCCCUUUGUUUCUAUUGUUCUUGAUACAAUAUCCCUUUUUUCUACUUUUCUUCACAAUCUAUACUUCACUUGGUAUCAUUUACAUCGAUACGCGCUACAUACACAGAUGUGUUAGACAAUUAAGGAAAGGGUGAUUAAAAAUCACUGUUAUAUUAGGUUCUUUGCUUUAGUGUAUGAUAUUCAAUGAACUUCUUUUUGUAAAUUUGCAGAUACAUCUGUUUGUUUAUCUCUUUGGUUGCUGCGCCAUUAACCUUUGUUUAAAGAAUUGUUUUCUCUCCUAUUUUCGAUCCCAGUGGUCCAAUUUAACAAUGUGGUUAUAUAAAGUACUCUUUUCUUCCUUUCCCAUAUGAGAAAAUUACAUUCAAUGAUUAGGCAAUAAAAAUGGAUUUGCUUUUGAUUUGAUGUCUGGGUUUUGCGGGUGUAUUAUUUCAUUGGUAAUGUGUUUCCAUCAAAUCUCUAACAUCAUCGUUAAACUUGAUUUACAUGAUACAAUAUCCUUUAGUUUUUGUAAUUCUGUUGUGCAUCACAAUCUAUGCUUUACUAUAUCAUGUACAUCGAUCUACUAAAACAGAAAUAUUUGACGUUUAAGGAAAGGAUGAUUUUUGAAUUUCUGGACUAGAUCAUUCCAAUGAUGCAGCUUGGUGGAUAUGAAUCCACCAAUUCUGUGGGAUUUUAAUAAUUGCAAAAAAUUUAGAGAAGAGACAAAAAGGUAGCACUUGCAUGAGUGGUGUGAUUCGUUGUUCCACAAGAAACAAAGGUUAUUCAAAGAGUAUAUGUAUUAAAAACUCAAUGUUCUACAAGUUUCAAAUGAGACACAAUUUUAUGAUUGUUAGGCAACUAUUUAAAAGAAUUUGAUUGGGUUCCAUCCAUGGAAACUAUAAUGAACUCACAUUUAUAGAAAUGUGUCUCAUUCAAAAAUUUCUGAUAAGACACAUUUUUGUGAGUGUUACGUGACUAUUUAAACACAAUUUGGUUGGUUUUUGUCAUUGAUAGCAAAAAUUAUAAUGAGCAUGCGUUCAUUGUCUACCCAAUGCAUGAGACCGAGGAUCUUAUAAAUUGACUUUUGUUCGGCCUAGUGUUCAAAAAUGUCAAAUAAAACACAUUUUGAUGAAUGUACAUUAUUAUCUAAAAAGAACUCGGUUUGUUUUCAUAACUACACUAGUAAUUAUAAUAAACGCACAUUUAUUGUACGCACAAUGCAUGGGACUGAUACGUAGUUGCUGUCAUCAAAUCUACAUCACAGCCCAAUCAUGAUCUUUCUAGUACCCUAUUACAUUAUUUUACCAAUCUCCAAAUCAUCACAGUUGGACUUUCGAGUCUAUGAUCAUUAUUUUACCAAUCUCCAAUAUUCUCAAGAAUAUUUACUUCGAUUCAGAGUAUUUUAUUUUGGAUAUAAUGGGGCUGCUGGUUUUCAUGUUGGUGCUUAAGAAGAUUGAAGAUGGGAGUAAUUGGAAGGACUACAAGAAAAACAAAAAACCAAAUCAAUCUAGCAAACUAUGGAGAUAACAUGCUUCAAUUUCACAGCUUUAGCAAGAGACAAGUAUUUAUUAGAGACUUUCUUGACUAGAUCAUUCCAGUGAUUCUAUUUAGAGGAUGAGUCAAGCCAUUCUCUUUGAUUUAGGACUGAUUUUCUUUAAAUUGCAAAAAUGUUAGAAUAGAGACAAAAUGAGAAACCCAUCCAUGGUUCAUUACAUCAUGCAUGUAUUGUGCAUUCAUUGUUCAAGAGCAAAAAGGUAUUGAGAGUAUAUUAAAGUAUUAAAGUUGUUUGAAGAAAGAACUCUUGUUUUCCCUCUCAUAGCUUGAUCCCGCUUGAUCACAUUUUGCAUUAUUAAAAAUUGACCGGACAAACCGAGCAAUUCAAUUUGAUUCCUCUUAGGUUAAAUAUCUGAAUCGGUACUAGAAUUAAGAAUCGGUGGGUUUGAUUAUGUUAUUGGUUCUAGAUCAAGAAUCGACUAUGAAUCGCACUCCCUGAUUUUUUAUAUUGAAUAAGCUUAAUUACAUUAAUUUUUUCUAUAUAAAUGUAUCGAUUAACUAAUUAAGUGAUUAAUCAUGAGUGAGUAAGUCUCCAACUCUCAAGGACCAAACCAACUUGAGCUCCGAUCUUUUUCCUACAAAUUUCAGUCUAAGCCCAAAUUUAGUUCGCAAUUCACGCAACACUCACUCAUUCUAUCAUUUAAGUAUAGAUAUUGCCCUUGUUUUCAGCCGCUUCCCUCUCACAAGCCAUGCCUUCACCUUUACUCCUAAAGAUCCACACGGACCACAAAUCAAAUCCUAUAUUUUCUCAUAUUAAAUCUUAUUGGUUCGACAAUUUUUAGUUUAUUUAAGUUUAUUAGUUGUGCUUUUUCAAUUACUUAUUGUGAGUUUUUAGUGGGAUAAGUAAAUCAAUGGAUGAUUAAUUUAAAUGGUUGAUAAGUACUGGCUAUACUUAAAAAUAUUUUAUAUUCGAAGGAUUGAAGCAAAGAAGUCAAUGUAAUGGAAUUAUCAAUAUUUUAGCAUUAUUAUUUACUUUUUGGUAAGUUGUAUAUAUUGGUGAAUGGAUCUCAUUAGACAAUUUGUAUUUUGUAUAUUUUGUCCAGACAACUGUACAAAAUGUCUAAUGAGGUGUUAAUUUAUGAUUACGUCUUAUUAAAAAAUGAUUUGUGAUUUUUCGUUAACGAUAGUGUAAUGUUAUGAUCAUGCAUUUAUUGUCCACUAAACGGCAGGACCUACAUUUUAUAAAUCAAGUUUUGAUCAUAUGGUGGUAAAAAAUUUUGAAUUUAGACAGUUUUUGUCAUGUGGGAAAUAAUUGGGGGAAAAAGAAUCAGCAAAACUAGAAAUAGAAGAGAAGGAAGAAGGAAAUGGAUAUGACUGGUUUUGAAUUCAAAAAUGGUGUCAUGGCAACUUAUCAAAACGGCGUCAUUUUAUUUUGAUUAAUUGUAAUAAGCUAGAAACGUUUUUUUACAUUUUAUCAGUUGAGAAUCACACUUCUUCACUAUAGAGGUAAGCAGAUAAAUACAGUGUAAAGGGUUUGGAAAUAGUGUGUGUAAUAUCUUCUGUCAAAUUUCAGUGGAAUUGUUGAUUGAAUCAACAGCUUUCUCAUCUCCCUUCUUCUUAUUUUGCUGUUUUUCCCUUUCCCCAUUCUGUUUUCUCUAAAUUUGGUUACAAAUUUAGCUUGUGAGAAUUCCAUUAUUGAUCUAUGCAAGUCGUGGUUGCGAGGUAAGGUUCAGGUCGUGACAAUUGGUAUUAGAGCAGGCAUAUUAAACCAGGUAAGUGGUAGUCAUGGACACAAGGGCUAACGUAGUAGAUGACCAUUUGGAGAAACUGGAUUUGAAGAUUGCUAAUUUGGGUACCUCGUUCAAAGCGGUGUCCAGCAGACUAGAGAACAAAUUGGCUUCCAUGAAUCAAACACUUCAGGUAGUGGUUAAUAGACAAGAGAAUAUUGAAGGUAUUGUGUUGGAUAUGAACCAGAAGUAUGAGAAAUUAGUGGCCAUGAUGACCCAAAUGUCUUUUGAUCUUAAAAUUGAGUAGGAAAACAAAGUAAUAGAAGGAUCUAUGGUUAACUUAAGGUCUGAGAGUGGGACAUAUAGGCCAAGAACUAAUAGCAAUGAGAAUAGUGUUCAUACCACAUGAGUGCUUAAGGGAAAUAAUAGGCUACCUAAGAUGGAAUUCCACUUUGUGGGAGAAAAGGACCUAGGGAAUGGCUAAGGAAAGCCAUGAAAUAUUUCCAGAUUCACGAGACUCUUGAUGAACUUAGGUAGGGAAUUGCUGAGAUGCAUUUGGAAGGAAAGGCUUAUAUAUGGUUUUAUGGAUUCAUUGCAAACCAUCCUGGGGCGGAUUGGAGUUUCUUCCCUAAGGAAUUUUGCAGAAGGUUUUCAGAAACUAUUGAGGAAGAAGUGGUUGAGACAUUUAUCAAAAUUAAACAAUUGGGACAAAAUGAAGAUGAGUCUAAAGGAGAAUCAGGAGGUGAAAAGAUCAUAGAGAUAGCCAUUAAUGCAUUCGCUGGGAGGUGGCAACACAAGACCAUUAGAGUUCCUGGAGUGAUCAAAACGGUGUCAUUUUACUUUGAUUAAUUGUAAUAAGCUAGAAAUAUUUUUUACAUUUUAUUAGUUGAAAAUCACGCUUCUUCACAGUAGAGGUAAGGAGAUAUAUAAGGUGUAAAGGGUUUGGAAAGAGUGUGUGUAAUAUCUUCUGUCAAAUUUCAAUGGAAUUGUUAAUCACUCAAUAGCUUUUCUCAUCUUCCUUCUUCUUGUUUUGCCAUUUUCACCUUCCCGCAUAUUGUUUUCUCUUAAUUUGGUUACAAAUUCAGCUUGUGAGAAUUCCAUUAUUGAUCUGUACAAGUUGUGGUUGCGAGGUAAGGUUCAGCUUAUGACAGUUUUACAAUUGUUACAUGACUAUUUAAAAAGAAUUUUGCAGGGUUUUCGUCAAUGUGCAAAUAUAAAGGCCAAUUUUGCCUUGCUCUCCAACACCAUUUGAUUAAAAUGAUAACUAUGGCCUUCAUACUAAUAUUCUUCGUAGCCCACCACGCUCCUUUCAUUUACUUCAGCAAACAACUUUUAAUGCGCUCUUUCUGCCCUUUUUCACUUUCUUUCUCUAUUAUCAUCUUUAUAGCUAUAAAUUUCUAGCAUAAAUUCUAACUAUUUUUCCAAGGCUCACGAACUCUCAGUCUUACUGUCUGAACAAAGAUAUUUCAGUUUGUAAAAUCAAGAAAUAUGGUUAAACUCCUAGAAAAUCAAUAGGCAUUUGUAUAUAAAUAGUUGGCAUCUUCAAAGGUGAAGAUGACAUCUACGUCAUGACCUAAUCUAGAUUUGUAGGAUACUCUAUUACAUUCUUUACCAACCUCCACUAUGAUGAAUGUCGUGCUUUCAAGAAUCGAGAUUUGCUGGAUACUCUAUUACAUUAUUUACCAACCUCCACUAUGAUGAAUGUCGUGCUUUCAAGUCCAUGAGCAUGGAGCAAAUUCUUAAGAAUAUUUAAUCUGAUUUGGAGCGUUGUGGUUUGGUGAAUAAUGGGGUUGCUUGUCUUAGUGUUGGUGCUGGAGUAGACUUCAAGAUCAGGAGUGCUUGUGGACUUCAUAAAUAAUCAAAAACAAAAUUAAUCAGUCUAAAUAUGAAGAUGUUAUGCUUCAUUUUUGCAACUUUAUCAAGAGCAAGAUUUUAUUAGUGACUUUCUAGACAAUAUUAUUUCAGUGACGUUGUUUGGAGGAUGAUUAAGGCCAUUCUCUUUGAUUCCGGUCUAAUUUUCAUAGAAUUGCCAAAAAAUGUUAGAAAAGAGAUGAAAAAAUUGGAGCAUGCAUGGGCAACACAUACGUCAUGAAUGUGUUGUGUGUUCUCGUUGUUCAAGAGGAAAAAGUUAUUGAGAGAGUACAUGUAUUAAACAAUCAAUGUUCUACAAAAAUUUUGAAUGUAACACAAUUUUUUGGAGGCUAUUAGGGUUUUGUUGUUUGUGUCUUCAAUCGCACAACUAUGAUGAACAUAUAUUUAUUGUUCACCUAAUGUAUGGGACCCACAUUCUUAUAAAAAUUGACUAUUGCUAAGCCCAGUAUUCAAAAAUAUCAAAUAAAAUUUGAAGAUUGCAAAUUACUAUUUAAAAACAAUUUUGUUUGGUUUCUAGUGCAAUUAUAAUGACCAUGCAUGUAUUGUACACAGAACACCCAAUGCAUGGGAUCCACAUACCUUUUGUUUAGACUAGUAAUCAAAUUUCAAGCGAGAUGAAUUUCUCUAAGCAUCAAUCGACUAUUCAAAAGUGAAUGAUCAAUUCCAUCGUUGAUAGUACAACUAUAAUGAACACACAUUUUUAUCCACUAAAUGUGUAAGAUCCAAUCAUUAUUCAUUGACUUUGAACAUUUCGAAUUUAGAAUUUUUUACAAGAGGUACCUGACUGUUUAAAAAGUAUUUGGCGGGGUUUUAAUCAGUGACAGUGCAACUUUAAUGACCAACUUGCAUCACACAGUACCCACCACACCUCUAACACCACUAGUUUAAAUUGACAAAUAUGCCUUUGAUUAGUACUCUUCCUAUCCCACCAAGUUCCUUUUAUCUACACAACCAAACAGCCUUUAGUGCCCUCCCUAUCUCCCUUUUCACUUUCUCUCUCUGUAUCUAUUAUUUUAUAACUACAUAUUUCUAUCGUAAAUUCAAAUUGUUUUUACAAUGCUGAUGGACUCUCAAUCUUAGUGUCUGAACUAAAAUGUUUCUAUUUUCAAAAUGAAGAAAAUAUUGUUAAAAUCUUAGAAAAUUGGACAGUUGUAUAUGUAUAGCUCUCAUCAUCAAAGGUGAUUAUAGCUUCUACAUCACCGCCCAAUUGUGAACUGCCAAGUUUCCUAUCAAGUUUUUUUGCCAAUCUCCACUCUCAUGACAGUCGGGCUUUCUUGUCUAUGAGCAUGGAGCAAACUCUUAAGAAUAUUUACUCUAAUUAAGAGUGCUCACUUUUGGAUAUUAAUGGCGUUGUUGGUUUUCAUGUCGGUGUUGGAGGAGAAUUAAGAUGAGCAAUUGGGUGGAUGAUAAAUGUAUUGUUUACGCUUAUCUAGGCCGUUAAAAUGUGAUCUUUGUGAGUCAUUUUAGAUGAAUUAUAGCUUAGUUCAAUGUAAAUUGUGUGUUGUUAGGUACAAAUUGACAUAUAUGAUGAAAUUGUAUAAAAAUGGUAAAAAUGAGCUCAAUUGUAAGAGUUCCAAAGUUUUAAGAAAAAGUACAAAUACUCAAAAAUUGUGUCAAACCUCACGAUGAAGAUUCGAGAGUGCUAGGAUCAAUUAGAUGAGAAAAGAAAUCAAGUGGAUGAAAUAUAAUUAAAGUAUUUUCACACAUCAAUUUUCAGUUGAAAAAGUUAUGCUCCGAAUUUUCAGCCUCAUAUUGAUACCCAUUUUUGGCAUCGUAAAUGUUCAAAUUCGAAAAUUUAUUUCUAUGAGAGUUAUCGUUAUUUGAGUUAUCUUUUCCAACAUAUUUUGAAUCUCCUUGAUUGGAUAUUGGGAGAGAAUAUUACAACAAAACUACUGAUGGCUGUCCAGCACAUGAACUAAGGUGGACAAGGUGCGUGCUUGAGCCUCUUUUGAGGCCACUUGAGGCUUGCAAACCACUGGAGGCGAGGAAAUUCCUGUUUUCCUCAUUUUCUUUUAGUAAUUGUAGAAUGCAAUCUUUUCGCAUUUUAUAUAUUGGGAGGCAUGUCCAAAAGGGUUUAAGUGGAGGUUUUAUCAUUAUUUGAGGUAGAGAAGACGAAUUUUACAUCAAGGAGUAAAAUUUAAUAGCUUGGGUCGAAGAUUAAAGUGAGGAUAUUGGAGUUUUCAAACUCUUUGUUAGUACUAAGACCUAGUUAAUUAACCGUUUUUGCACAAUUACUCGUUUCAAUCAUAAUACACCAGUCAGUCAAAACUUCCUACGGGCAUAUUUACGUACAGUUCUAAAUGGGACAACUUAACACAUUUGUGUUCUUUAAGAUAUAAUCUAUUGUGGAAUUAAAUGAAAAUGAACACCAAAUAUAACGUGGUGAACCCAUAAGGGAAACAUCCACUGGCCCCAUGCCCUGGGUAAAAUAAUACACUCUCAAAGAAUAAAAAUACAAUAGUUUUGGUUUAGUUAUUUCAGAAAAUUAAUUAAAACAAUCAAAAGUAAAUAAAGCACAACUCACUCGUUUUCUUAUUACUUUUGAUUUGUUGGAGAGGUGGAAUCAAACCCUCCGAUCUUGACUUUAUCAUCACUUCACUAUUGUAUUUGGCCGCAACCAGCACUUGGAUUAAUAUUCACCAAUCUUUAACUCACACCAAGUAGCCUGAUCUUUGAGUAUGAUUAUAUCAUUCACACACAAGUGUAUUCUCUUCAAUUACGGUUGAAGAACAUGGUUAGAGAUACUUCAAUGGAACAUUAGCCGGUCAACACUCACUAAAGAUGGUUAGAAAACUUCAAAACUUGCUAUUUUAGGUUCGCUUGGCAUAAGCAUAUUUUUCUUAAAGCCUUCGUUGGUCCCCCAGUGAUCUUCUUUACUUAUGUAAUUGGUCCAUUAAUGAUCUUCUUUACUUAUGUAAGGACCCCUUUAAGGUACAAACGUGUCUUACCUAAAAUAUGAAAGUUUUGCACUAUAAGAAUAAUAUAAAAUAUGUUUGAUAUGGUCAAUAAUUAAAUUAUUAAUUCAUUAAAGCAAUCUUUCCUUCUUUUACUUAUUUGACCGGUCAAACCAUUUCAAUAGGGUAAAUUUAUAUUUAUGUAUCUGUAUAAAAUAUGUUUGAUAUAGUCAAUAAUUAUAAAUUAAUAAAAGUUUCGAUUUGUUAAAACGAUCUUGACUUCUUCUUCUUCUUCUUUUUUUCAAAAUUUUUUUUAACCAAUCAAACCUAUCCAAGAUGAUAAGUAUAUCCUCUUGUAUAUGCUGCUAUAAGGGAGGUAAAUAUUGCACUUCCUUUAGGGUUUAAAAACCCUAAAAACUGCAGUCAAGAAUUUGUUAACUCGUAGUACCAGUCAGUCGUGACCAACUAGCUUACCUUGUUUGGACUGCAUUAGUUGAACAUUUUUUUGGCAUAGGCUUUGGCAUUUAAAAGUCAUUUUAAUUUAAGCAAGCCAAUAGACAAGUAAUAAGUAAAAGCAUAAAAUAUAUUUUACUUACACUAUUCAUCAUAUUCCUUGCUCGGGGUGAUGUUGUUUGUUAUUAUUAUUAUUUUUUUUGUAAUUUUCAUAAGGCAAAGCUAGGUUAAACAAUUUUAUGUAUUGGAUGGAUGAUAAAACUGUUGAUUUAUAGUUUACAAUUCAAGACUUAUUGACUCUUUAGUUAAUUCUUGUGUUUGUGAUUGAAUAUGCAUUAAUUAUAUGUUGUUUGAAUGUUCGACCAUCAUUUUGACAACUAGUUGUUUAUUUGUAGUUUUGAGAGACUCACAAUAAGUAAAACACACGGACAAUAGAUAUUAAGAACAAUGUUUAUGACGUGGCAAUUGUAUGUGAUAUUCUUGUGAUUGAAUACAUGCUUUGUAUAUGAAUUUGAAUUAAUAACAGGAUCGGGUCGUGUUAAGUAUAGAUUUAAUAUAUUUGGAAGAUAAUAUUAUAUAUUAACAGAUUAUUGACUGCUAUGAACACAUUAAUAAUGCUAACUCACAAAAGCCAAGAAUUGAAACUAAACAUUAUUAGGUGGAUUCUGAUAUCCAAUACAUUCAUCUCAUAUUUGAUUAAUCACCAAUCUCUUAGAACUUUCAUAGUUUAGUUAGAAUUAAAUCAAAAAUAUCAACUCUUUUGUGUUACCAAAUUUGGUAGAAACUGGUAAACUAUAAUUACAUUUAUUUCUCGUGGGAUGAUAACCCAACUCACUACAUUAUUAUUUGUUAAUGACCAAGAAUGCUUGCAUGUUUGGUAUGAAUCGUGGACAACGAGAAAAAUCAAUUACCAAAAUAAUCUAUUUUGUUAACAUGCUUCAAUUUUGCAACUUUAGAAAGAGCGAAGUUUUCAUUAGAAACUUUCUAGAGUACAUCAUUCUAGUGCUGCUAUUUGGAUGAUGAGUCAAACAAUUCUCUUCAAUUCCGGUCUGAUUUUCAUAAAACUGCAAAAAAAGUCAAAAAAAAGACAAAAAGAAAACCCCCAUACGUGGGUCAUGCAUACGUCAUGCAUGUAUUGUGUGUUCAUUCUUCAAGAGGAAAAAAAUUAUUAAGAGUGUGUGUGUGUGUGUGUGUGUGUGAAAAUCAAAGUUGUUGAAAGAAACAACUCUUGUUUCCCUCCCAUUGUUUGAUCCCUGUAUCCAAUUUUGCAUUAUUAAAAAUUAUCAAAAUUACUCUUGAUACUUUGUCACAUUUCUUUACGACAAGUACUGCUUACAAAGAUAUACUAGCUAUCAAGGAAAGGGAGAUUAAAAAAUCAUGAUUAGAUUUUGUAAUUUGCUUUAGUUUUUGCAAUUCAAGUAGCUUUUGCAAUGUUACGUAUACUUCAGUUUGUUUCUUCCUAUAUUACGUGGUUCAUACAACUGCCUUCUUUACUUUUUUGGCGUGGUGUACUAUAGUCGAGUUACGAAUUCUAGGGUGAUUUUUCCAAGGCUUCAGGUAGAUAUAUUAAUAAAAAUGGAAGCUAACUUAUCACUUUCUGGCGAUAUGAUGCAAGUCAAUCCCCAACAAGCUCCGUAAUUAUACAUGGCAAUUCUAGAUGCUUUGUCUUUUGAGGUUUGCAGCAUGCAAAAUUUUAAUUAGCCUAUGCUGUUAUUUGAAGGAAACAUAGACGAGAUUUUUUGGAAACUGCCAAUGGACGAAUAUUCUAGGCACUCUUAGUGAGCAGAAUCAAGUAGAUGCAGAGAAAAGGGAACCCGUGUGGCAGGGAUAAAAUAAACAGAUGAAAUGUUUAUGCAUUUGAUAAUAGAGAAAAGAAAAUUGUUUAUUAGCAUUAGAUGAAACGUACAGAUAUUUUCAUUUGAAUUUAAAUAGCAGUCAAGUGGUUGUUGGGAUUGUUGCGAGUCAGGCUCAAGUUGCACAAGACCAUGGCUGUGUUAUUUGAGAUUGAAACAGUGACGCCCAAGCUCUAGGGACUCGUGACAUUACUAAGAUAUUAAAUUUGCAAAAUUCUACCUAGAUUGUUCAUAAAAGUAUAAAAAUUAACUUGGAUUAGAAGCAUUACAGCUUCAGUGAAUCCGUUGCAAAACUAAAUAAGUUUUCUUUCGAAAAAUUUGGAUUUUCAGAUUGCGCAGCUUUUUGAAAACAAAAAAUCCAUUUGACAACCAAAUGAUAUCCAAAAUUUACAAAAUUUAAACUGUACGCAUCUUCCACAUAGACAGUUAAAAUUUCAUAAGCAAAUUCAAUCAAUAGAGAGGUCAAAAUUGUUUUCAAAAUCGAAUCUAUUUGUUCUUGGGUACAUUCUGGCAGCUGUCAGGAGAAUGUCCAUAACUUGAGUUUUACACAAUUAAAAUUCAUGGUUCCAACUGUCCAAGAGAUAGAUAAUCCAUAUGGAUACCUUUUCCUACUAGAAUCGCCACAAAAUUCAAAGUAUUAAGGUCGAGGUGGAUUUUUAAAUAUAUGUGCAGAAACAUAAAAUAUUUCAAACACUAUUAUUACCACUUAAUUGAACAAAAUAAACCACAAUAAAAUAUCCUAUUCACCUUGAACAAAUUUCCAUUACAUAGUUCAGUGUUUAAACGUUUAAUCAUUUGAAAACACUAAAUUAAAAUAUUUUAGAAGUUGAAAUAAUUAUUUGAACAUAACUUUACUUAAAUGAUGAUUUUUGGAGUUCACAUCGAAGCACCUCCGCUCCCCUCCAUGCCGCCAUCGAUCACAUUUAUCUGAAAUUGUUGGGGGUUGAGUGUCUUACGAAAACACUCAAUAGACUUAUAUGCACGUUAAAUCCAAUUUUUAAUAGUUUAAGCAUAUGUCUAUGUCAUUUAAACUUUUGAUGAAUAAGGACAUCGAUAAUCAUGCAACAUACCAACAUUUGGUGCACUACUACGCCAGCAACUUCAAAUUUCUAGGGCAUGAUAAGUGCAUUUUACACACUUAUUCAAGCUUAAAAAAAUAACAUUCUAUACUUUUUUGAUAAAAUAUAGCUUAAUUUGUGUUAUAUUGUGUCUAAUAAAUAAAACUCAUGAUUUGAUGAAGAAUUGGAGAAAAUAAGCGAAAAUUAGUGAAAUCAAAACUAUCAGGACUAAAAUGUAAUAAUUCAAAAGUUUGAUUGGAUUGUGAGAUGGUGAUUCAAGAAUGGCAAGAGUCAAUUGGAGUUGCAAAGAAGUCAACAGGAUGAGAAAUUAUUGAAAAGGAUCAAAAAUGUAUUGCGAAAAGUUUCGGGAGCAAUUUGCAAAACUGGGCAAAUUGGUUCCAAAAAUGUGUACCAUGCUUAAGCAUAAGGCUGCAAGCUUUGCAUGAGCAAGGUCUCAUAAAUUCUUACCUAACACUAAAUCACGUGUAUUGUGCUCAAGCACCAAAUGAACUGUGCUUAAGCAGGUUCAAUUUCGGGAAAAAAAUUGUUUCCUUAUCUUGUUUUAGAAACUUUUUAUAUACAAUUUUUUAACACUCUAUAAAUACCAAAAGCCAUCCUAAACAUGGAGAACAUCCCUUUGGCCAAAAAAUAACAUAUUUUACGUAUUCUGGAGGCAAAGAACAAGGAACAAUCAUCAACCUUUCUUCAUUAUUUCUCGAUUUGAGUGAUGUCUUUUCAUUAUUUAUUUUAUAGUUUAAUGGUUGGCUAGAUUUUUCAAAUGUAUUGGAUGUAUGUUUGAACCUUGCUUUCAUUUAUUUUAAUUCAAGACUUCAAUUUAGGAAUUUCGUGCUAUUACCUGAUUGAUUUACAAACCCAUUGCACUACUUAUUGCUUGAUCACCAAUUAAGUAGUUAGAUGCUCUUUGUAGCAUAGAAAUACUCAUAAUGAGUUUAAAACACAGUAAAAUCAACAUGAGUAUUUAGAAUUAGGAAUAAUCUAUCUUACACAUGCAAUCUUAUUGAUAAUCUAAACUAAAUGCAUGACUUUAAUAUGAAUUCGGACUAGCUAGGAAUAGGACCGUAUUGUGUUAGUUAUAGGUUAGUAUAUCUUAGAAAAGAGCAUUUAACAUAUUAGCUUUAUCGAUCGUCAAAAAUACAUGAAUUGAAUAGAAUAAUUAUUGAGAAUUGAAAUUGAUUGUAAUAAGGAAUACGUGAAUCCAAUACAAGCAUUUACAUUAGAUUUAAUUACUUUUUAAUCACUCUCUUAGAAGAGAAUUAGAAUAAAUAACAAACUAAUCACAACACUUUUGAUGUCAUCACUUUGAAUUAAUAGUAGCUACUGAACUACAUAUUAGACCUUAUUUCUCGUGGAAACGAUACUCUUAACUUAUAAAUUUUAUUACUUGUACAACGAUCGUGCACGCUUGUGUGUUUUGUCCAAAACAAGUUUUUUGCGCAGUUACUGGAGAAGAAUGGAUUUAAUUUUAGUUUACUAGUUUAUAUUAGAUUACAUUUAUAUUUAUAUUUUUUGUUGAUUUUAGCUACCCACCCUGAUCUCUAUUGUUUGACAUUCUUUCUAGGUGCUAUUCAACAGUAUAUUUGGAUUCUGACGCUGGCAUGUUAAAAAGAUUUUUGCAAUAAAUAAUCUGAACAUGAACUAUAAAGAAGAUAUUUAUUGUGUAUUCUACUAUGGGGUGCAUUAUACUAGCUAGUGUUUGAAUACAUGUACCAAACUCUAUCAGUUCAAGCUGCUACGAUUUAAGUAAUAUUUAAGAUGUCAAAACUAGCAAUUGAUACAUCUAUUGAAGGCUACAUGCCUAUGGGCGAGUGUAUCCCUUCCGACAUGCUUGUGGGAUUUGAUCGUUUCAUGUCGAACGAGGAAGUACUUGCAAAAUACUACACUAAUCUUGCUAAGUUGGAUGAAAACAAAUUGUGUGUGAGAGAUGGCCUAUUAUGGUAGGAAUUUAAAAGGUGGGGGUAUAAUCCACUCAAAAAGUUUAAAAGAAAAGAGUUUCCAUGGCCCAUGGAUUUAAAUUGUGAAAUGAUCAUUUAACCUGAGGAUAUAUCAAUUAUGGAAGAUUAAAACAAAGACGAUGAAAGUUCAAUUACAUAUGACUAAAACAAAGAUAAGGCAAUUAAUGAAGAUGGCGUUAACCCACAUUCCAUGGACUUCAUUGAUUGCCCUAUCAUUGAAUUUGUAAUUAAGCGCAAAGAGGACGAAGAAGUUUAUGUAGUUGAAUUUGAAUCAGAUGAGAUUUGCAAGUCAUAUCAUAUUUGAGGGGGCAGUGUUAAAAUUUGUAGAAGCAACAAAGAGUGGAGCAAAGUCAAAAGAGGCAAAUUGAGCAAGGCAUCAACAGUGUUCUUUAGAAUUCCAUGAUUUCGAAACAAUGAAGACAAGCUAAGGACAUUAAACAAAGCGUUUAUUAGGAGGCAACCCAUUUUUCUUCCCCUUAUUUAUUAUGCUUUCUAGUCAUAUGAUAAUUUAGUUUAUUCAUUAGUUUUAAUUAGGGACUCAUCAUCCAUUUGUCAUUUUCCUUUAGGUCCUCGAGAUUUAAUUAGCUUAUUAGAUGUUUGAGUUAAGUAACAUUUGUUCCAGAUAUUCAACCUUAAAUGUUUUAUCUAAUCAUAUUGUGCAGGGAUAUGACAUCAUAGAACACUAAACCAACAAUGACCAAGAAGACAAUGGAGAGCAAUUGGAAAGCUAGCUAUUGGAUAUGUGGAUUUAGAAUUUAAGACAUUGAGGAUAAUGUCUAGUUUAAGUUUGGUGGUGAAAACACGAGUUUUCUUUUGUUUUUGUUCAUGUUUUAUUGCUUUAGAUAUUAAACCAAAAAUAAAUAAAUAAAUAAAUAAAAUUUGAAAUGUUUAAAAAACUCCAAAAAUAUUUUAUUUGUGCGAGUUAGUUGAUCUGUCAAGUAAUGAUGAAUAUAUUAAAUUAUAAAUUGAUCUACGAAUGAUGAACAGGUUGCAUGCUUAGGUUAAUUUUUACUCUUCCAUGUGAAAGCUGAUAUAUAUUGAACAAAUGAAUUAAGUUAAACAUUAUGUAGGAAUGAAUUGAAUUCAUAAUUGGAUAGGUUAAAAUAGUGGACAUAGAUGCAAAACCCAAAGUCACUAAAUUCUACAUCCUUAGACCAAAUUUGGAAUAGUUUGGGAAGAUUUCAUUGUUGUAGAAAGAUGUUAAGAUAAAUGGGAAUUCCAUGUGUGAAAUUAAAAAUCUUGUGGGGAUUCUCUAAGGUCAAUAGGAUGAAAUUGGAUGAAAGUCUUAAGUUAAAUGUCAAUUUACUUGAAUAGAUGUUUAAUAAGUAGGAUGGAAGUGGAUGAAAGUCUUAAGUUAAAUGUCAAUUUACUUGAAUAGAUGUUUAAUAAGGGAUAUUGCACUAAUCAAGGUAUAAAAAAUAUUUUAUUUGAAAAUUUUUCUUCGUGACCUUGAUGGUUCAAGCCAUUAAGCAUGUAAUAUUUUAUUUGAAAAUUUUUUCUUCGUGACCUUGGUGGUUAAUCAGAAGAGGAAGCAUGCCCUCAUAUGCUGCUGGAAGUGAAGGCUCUUAUUUUCCCUCUCAUAGUUCGAUCCCAUUGUGAUCUCAUUUUGCAUUACUAAAAAUUAGGGCUGGAUAAUACUCCCGAACCGAAUCAAAUGGUUCAAUUCGAUUCUUGUUCGAUUAAAUACCUGAAUUGGAACUAAAAUUUAGAACCGAUCGGUUUAGUUUAGUUCUUGGUUCUAGAUCAAAAAUCGAAUCUCCCUAAUUUUUAAAAUUUUUUUAUAUUGAACAAGCAAAAUUAUUUUAAUUUUUUUCUUAAGCCCUUGUUUGAGCCCCAUUUUUUCAAUAAUGCAUUUUUUCAAAACUUAUUUUCAACCACACAUUCUUCUAUAAAAUAAUUAUACACGUAUUUUAUUUUUUAAAAGAAUUCCCUACUUUUUAAUCACACAUCCUCCAAAAAACCACUAUUCCAUAAUGCCUUUUAUCCCAUAUUUUUGAAUCAAACAUGGGGUAAAUAAAUUUGUCAAUUAAUUAAUUAAGUAAUUAACUGUAAGUGCGCAAGGCUCCAACUCUCUAGGGCCAACCCAACUCAAGUCCAAAAUAUUUUUGCUACAAAUUUCAAUCCGAGUACAACUUUACUUCACAAUUCGCCUGACACUCACUUAUUCUGUCAUUUAGGUUUAUCCAUGACCCUCAUUUUCGGCCGCUUCCCAAUCACAAGCCACGACUUCAUCUUUCCUCCUCAAGAUUCUUACGGGCCACACCAUCAUAUCAUAUAUUUUUCCAUAUUAAAUCUUAUUAGUUGGACAAUUUUUUGAUUAGUUGUGUUUGUUAGUUAUGUUUUUUCAAUUAUCUCUCAUGGAGUUUUUUAGUAUGACAAGUCAAACAACGAAUAAAUAAUUUAAAUGGUAGAAAAGUACUAGCAAUACUAAAAAAUAUUUUAUUUCUAUAACUUUUAUUUUAUAUUUCACUGUUUCAUAUAUAUUUGUAGGCUUGAAGAAAAGGAAUCAAUGGAAUAUAAUUAUCGAUAUUUGAGCAUUGUGAUUUACUUUUUGGUAAUUUGUAUGCAUUGAUUAAUGGGUCUUAUUAGACAACUUAUUUGUAUAUUUUGAAUCUGAACUAUGUUAUUUUUUAGGAGUUAAAAUUGAACAUAUCAUUGGUUGGAUUAAUGUAGUGUUGAUUUAAAUAUUAAAAAAUUUAAUUAUAGUACGAAUCCGAAUGGGACCAAACUGAUCAGUUCCAUAAUUAAAUUUUGAUUUGACUAUUAUACUUAAUAAAUAACUAAAAAUUCUGGUCUGGCCUACUAAAAAUGAUCGGAAGUAUCGUAAUACUUAGUCACAUUUCCUUCCCUUCCCAUAUGGGAAAAUUACAUUGAAUGUUCCGGGGAUUUAAAAAUAAAAUAAAAUAAAAUCAUUUCUAAUUGAAAUCUGAAUUUAUAUUUCUUUAGUAAUCUCUGUUUCCAACAAUUCUCGUAUUGUCAUACAUGAUUACAUGAUACAGUAUUCCUAUUUUCCUAUGAUGUGCUUUACCGUCUGUGUUUUACCUUGUGCAAUUUACAAUGACAUGCACUACUUACAAUAUAUUGGACAAGCAAGGAAAGGAUGAUUAAAAAAUCAUUGUUAGAUUUGGCUCUUUGUUUUAGCUUAUGCCGUUCAAGUGGCUUCUUUUUCAAAGUUAUGGAUACAUCCAUUUAUAUCUUCGUGUAUUACGUGGUCCGUACAACUGCCUCUUAUGUUUUGACAUGGAGUAAUAUGGUAAUUAAUGAUUUCUAGGGAGAAUUUUCCGAGGCUUCAGGUAGAUAUAUUAAUAAAAUGGAAUCUGACUUAUCACUUUCCUGUAUGAUGCAAGUCAAUCCCCCAACAAGCUCCCUAUAUGAUGUCAGGAUAUUCCUUCAACAGUUCAACCUGUGAGACAUAAAUUUGAUGAUGCCAAAAUUUGAUUUCUUUCCGAUGCCGGGCAAGAUAACGAUUAUCUUGAGGGUUUGUUGUAAUAGACGAUUCACAGAAAAGUAAACAAAAGAAUAACACCCAAAACACAAAGAAACUUCUCUUAAAUUCACUCAAUAUUAUUAAAACUCCAGAAUGCAAAAAUAAACCCACAAGUCGGGUUAAAUAGCUUAGAAAGUACGAAAUUAUUGAAAUUUUAUCAAAAAUAUCAAAAUCCUGAAAAUCACAUCAAAAUAAAAUACAGAAUAAAAGAAGUAACUUUGUGCGCGCCAAAAAAAGCUUUCCAAAUUGAUAUCAUAAUUGCAAUUUUGAUAACCAUUGCGAAAGUUAUGGCCAAAUUACAAAAAAAGUGUCAAAAUUACCCCAAUUAAGAAAAGCAUUGCAAUCACUUUCCAUCUUUGCGCCGAUCCAACAUCUCAUGGUAUCUCAGCACCAUCAACGUGCUUUCUAACAUCUCAACCUCACUUGAUUUGGAACCUCUUGCAUCAGUUUCCAUCCAAAUGCUAUUUGUUGCUACUUUUUACGGCAUGCACCUAUACGCCGCAUAAUACUUAUUACGAUGUGCAAUGCAUGCCGUAAAAAGUAAACUUUGUUGUAGUGUUUCCAAUUUACAUGAUACAAUGUCCCCUGUUUCUUUGUUGUACUUCACAAUAUAUACUUUUUCUUUUUGGUAAAAUGUCUAUCAAAAUGCUUUGCUAUACAGAUUUAUUAUGUAGGUCAGAGUGCUUGAAACCAUAAAAGAAAGCAUAGAUCUAAUGAAAAGCAUCUUCGUGUUGGAGGGUGUAACAUAUCAAUACCAAAAUCGGUGUAGCCUAUACAUAUUCUGAAGACUUAUAUAAACCCUCACAUGACAAGAUACUUAUUAGUUAACAUUAAACACAUAUGAACCAUUUAGGCUAUGAUCAUUGAGUGUCAUUAACGCCUCAAUUUUAUUGUAUUUUAAAUUAUAAUAGUAAAACUAUGAACCAUUUAGGCUAUGAUCAUUGAAUUUUCUUCUAUGUAGUUUUGAAUGCAAACAGUUUCUCUAGCACCUCUUGUAUGCUAUUAUUGAAAGACAACUGAUUCGUGAUUAUAUAUUGUGAGUAAAGCUUGCCAUUUAACUUGCAGUUCUUAAAUUUGUGUCCUCUAGUGUGGCUAGGCACAAGGUAAAUAGUGUAGGCUUUAUUGAUAUUUAUGGUUUUGUCAUUAGUUCUCCUAUAUGAAUUUUUAUUCUUAGACUGUAUUACAUAUUUAAAAAGAAUUGAAGACUGUCAAGAAUUGAGUGCAUAAUCGGAUGGAAGAUCAAUGGUUUGGUAAAUGAUGUAUUUGAAAAUAUUCAUAAUAGUGCUAUUAUACAAAGUUUUUAAAGUAUGAAAACCCGCAAACCACAGUUGUAGUAGUGCAGUAACUAUUUUCACUAAUGUUAUGUAAAUUUUUAAAAAAUUUGCAUUUAAAUUUUUUAUCCCACACAGAAAUUGAAUGUCUACGCCACUACGUGUAUGUGUUGUGCAUUCCUAUUUCAAGAUAAAAAAGUUAUUGAGAGAGUAUAUGCAUUAAAAAAAAAUCAAUGCUUUGAAAAAAACUAUAUAUAUAUUCAAAUGACACACAAUUUUUGGAGAGUUGCAUGACUAAUUGAAAAGUGUUUUGUCUUUUGUAUCUUCAAAUGUACAACUAUAAUGAACACACAUUUAUUGUUUACCAAAUGCAUGAGAUCCAUGUUUGUUUAAAUUAACUUUUGUUUAGUUGGGUAUUCAAAAAUAUCAAACUAAACAUGUUUUGAUGAUCUACAUUAUUAUUUUUUUAAAAAAAAUUUGCCUGGUUUUAAUCAUUGACGAUGCAAUAAUAAUGAACAUUGGUAGAUUUAGGGUGGAGAAUGGUAGGUCACUUGCCCCACCAUUUUUUUUGUUUUUUUUUUUUUUUUUUUUUUUUUUUUUUUUUUCCCCCCCCCCCCCCCCCCGGGGUUUAAUGAAAAAUGUAAUACAUUGUUAGUAGGGGAAAAUUGGGAUUGUGUAUUAAUAUUAUGGUUAUAUUAUUUGUAGGAUUUUGAAAUGGACAAAUUAUCUAAUUAUUCGAAUAAUUCUAAUGUUUUAAAUCGGUGAAUAGUGGUUAAUAUAUUUCAUUUUAUUUUAUGUUAAAUUUAAAAUCAUUCAAAAAAAUUAAUAGUUUUUUCCCCAAUUAUUAUUGUACUAUAUUUUGGGUAAUCAAACAAUGUUAUUUCAAUCUUGAUUUAUACUGAAAGUUCAAAUUAUAUUUGAUUGAUUUGUACAUCUUCUAAUAAAGUGCUUAGAUGGCUUACGUUAAAGAUUUAGCAUCCGUAUGGCAAAUUUAUAAAUAGUUUAUGAAGAGGAGAGUGCUAAAACAAUGUCACGAGUUGCCUUAGGCGUAAUAACAAGCACUUAAGCUCCUACAAGUAUACGGUUAAAAACCUUGCCUUUUCAAGUAUAUAAUUUCUAUGCCUUGUUAUUAAAUGCCUCAUUUGUUACAUUCUAUAACUCAUCAUCCGUUCAUCUACUGGAAUUCUAGCUAGCGUCCAUUGUUUUUUUUUGGUCUUUAAUGUCUCAAUCAAUCGAAUGUGAGAACAAGUCAUAUAAACAUAGAGUGGAAAAGAAAUUUAAUCCUUCUCGGAUUGUGGGUGCACGAAUCUUUGAAGAAUUCGUCUCGAUCAUGCACCUCAAAAAUGAAGCCAAGUUUGGUAAGACCAUUAUGCUUGAUUAUAUGUUUGUCCUCAAAGACAUAAUUUAUGUCUUAAUACUAUGUCUUAAGAUUUUGUAGUGUUUUCCCAAUACACGGCAAAGGCCACAUAAUAAAUUUAGACGUUGCUUUUCCUCAUAAAUACCACCUACUUACUCACAGCAGUUUAGUAAAAAUCUGAUCUGGAAUGGACAAUGUCGAUAAUUGCUAUAUUAUAUUUACAUUUAUAUCUUAAAAUUAUUCCCUGUGAGGAUCAUGACUAAAAAGAAACUAUGUUAUUUUUCUUUAUAAACUUGUUUGAUUUGGGAAUUUGGUUGUACCCCCAAUUCAAAAUGUGUGUUCACCACUAAUAAUGAACACCCAUCUGUUGUACACCAAAGUAUGUAGCCCACGUAAAUUUUGUUUGGACAGGUAAUCAAAUUUCAAAUGACAUGCGUUUUUAUGAGUGUUACAGGACUAUUUAAAAAGAUUGGUUAGUUUCCAUAAUUAAUUGUACACAUAAAAAGAACACACACUUUUAUCCACCAAAUGUGCAGGAUCCACAUUUUUAUAUGUUGGCUUUUGUUCAUAUGGUGUUCAAAAAUUCUGAAUUUAGCCCUUGUUUGAGUCUCAUUCUUUUGAUAAGAAUGAAUUUUGAAUAGUGUAUUGAUGGAAAAUGUGUAGUUAAAAAAUAAGGAAAUAUUUUAGAUUUACGUGUAAUAUUAUUUUAUUGAAGAAUGGGUGAUUAAAAUGAUGCUAGUAUACUGUUAAAAAUGUAUUUUUUUCAAAGAAUGGGAAUCAAAUAGGGGCUUAAACAUUUUUACAAUUGUUAUGUGACUAUUUAAAAGGGUUUGGCUGAGUUUUCCUCAUAGAUAGUGCAACGAUAAAGGCCAAUUGAUCUAGCCUUCUACCCACUACAACUCCAACAUCACUUGAUUAAAAUGACAACUAUGCCCUUCAUAUUAAUACUCGCCAUAUCCCACAAAGCUCAUUGUAUCCGUCAUCUUUAUAUCUACAAAUUUCUACCAUAAAUUCAAAUUGUUUUUCCAAGGCUCACGUACUCUCAAUCUUAUUAGCUAAACUAAAAUAUUUCAAUUAGUAAAAUGGCGAAAAUACAGAUGAAGUCCUAGAAAAUCUGUGGACAGUUGUAUAUACAUGAUUGUCGGCAUCAAAUGUGAUGAUGGUGCCUACGUCACCGCCCAAUCAUGAUCUUUUGAGUGCCCUAUUACAUUAUUUUACCAGUCUCGAAUCUCAUCACAAUCGGGCUUUCAAGUCUAUGAACAUGGAGGAAAUUCUCGAUAAUGUUUACUAUGAUUCGGAGUGUUUUGCUUUGGAUAUAAUGGGAUUGCUGGUCUUCGUGUUGGUGCUGGAGGAGAAUUGAAGAUGAGAAGUAAUUGGGAGGAUUAGAAAAAAAAUCAAAAACAAAAUCAAUCUACCUAAAUAUGGAGAUAACAUGCUUCAAUUUUGCAGCUUUAGCAAGAGGGAAAUAUUUAUUAGAAACUUUCUAGACUAGAUCAUUCCAGAGGUACAGUUUUGAGGAUGAGUCUCACCUUUCUCUUUGAUUCUGGUCUUAUUUUCUUUAAAUUUAAGUUAGAAAAGAGACAAGGUGAGAAGACCAUCCCUGGGUCACUACAUCAUGCAUGUGUUGUGCAUUUGUUGCCCAAGAGGAAAAAAGUUAUUGAGAGUGCGUGCAUGUGUGUGUGUAUCAACUGGUUUAGUUCAUUUCUCAGCUCUAGACGGAGAAUCGUAUACGAACCAAAUCUCUCCGAUCUUAUAAUUUUUUACUUAAAUUUUCCAAUUAACUAAUUAAGUGAUCAAAGGUAAGAGCGCAAGGCUACAACUCUCAAGGGCUAACCCAACUUGAGCCCAAAAUUUUUUUCUACAAAUUUCAAUCCAAGCUCAUCUUUGCUUUACUUCACAAUUCACCUAACAAUCACUCAUUCUGUCAUCUAGAUUUAACAGUUGCUGUAGUUUUCAACCACUUCCUAAUCCCAAGCCACGACUUCAUCUUUCUUCGCUCCUCAAGAUUCACACAGGAACACCUCAUCAAAUCCUAUAUUUUCCCAUAUUAAAUCUUGUUAAUUGCACAAUUUUUGUUUAUUUACAUUUGUUAAUAGUGCUUUUUCAACUAUUUCUUAUUGAGCUUCUUAAUUUGAGAAGUAAAGCAAUGGAUGAUUAAUUUAAAUGGGUGAUAAGUACUUGCAAUACUUAAAAAUAUUUUAUUUCUAUAACUUGUAAUUUAUAUUUCAUUUUUUUUACAUAUAUUUGAAGGCCCGAAGGAAAGGAAUUUAGCGUUAUUAUUUACUUUUUGGUAAUUUGUAUGCUUUGAUGAAUGGAUUUUAUUAGACAACUUUUUAUUUAUAUAUUUUAAAAUUGGACUAUGUCAUUUCGUAAGAGUUUAGAUUGAACAUAUCUUUGGUUAGAUUAAUGUAAUGUUAUAAUAAAUAUUAAAAAAAUUAAUUAUAGUACAAAACCGAACAGGACCGAAUUGGUUCGGUUCCAUAAUUAUAUUUUUCAACGGUUCAACUUUUGAAAUACAUAAAAUUAUGGUCCAGGCCUAUUAAAAAUGAUCCGAAGUAAUCUUGAUACUUUGUCACGUUUCUUUCCUUUCCCAUAUGAGUUAAUUACAUUCAAUGUUCCGGUGAUCGAAAAAAUAGAUUUCCUUUCGAAUUGAAAUCUGAAUUUCUAUUUGUUUGGUAAUCUUUGUUUCCAACAAAUCUCAUAUCAUCAUUAUAAAUGACUACAUGAUACAGUAUUCCUGUGUUCUUGUUAUGCGCUUUAACGUCUAUGUUUUACCUUGUGUAAUGCACAAUGACAUGCACUACCUACACAUAUGUUGGACCAUCAAGGAAAGGAUGAUUAAAAAAUCAUUGGUAGAUUUGGUUCUUUUCUUUUUUUUUUUUUUUUUUUUUUUUUUUUUUUUUUUUUUUUUUUUUUUGCGAAGUUAUGGAAACAUCUGUUUAUUUCUUCUCGUAUUGUUGGUUUCUACAACAGUGUUUUAUUUUUUUCACUUGGAGUAAUAUGGUUAAUUCAUGAUUUCUAGGAAAAAUUUUCCUAGGCUUCAGGUAGAUAUGUUAAUAAAUAUGGAAGCAAACUUAUCACUUUCCGGUGAUAUAAUCAAGUCAAUUACAAUGUCAGGAUAAUCCUUCUAUAGGUUAAUCUGUGAGACAUGUAAAUCUAAUGAUGCAAGAAUUUGGUUGGUUUUUGUCCAAAUGCUAUUUGUUGCUACUCCGUAAAUAGUACUCUUUUUGGGAUAUGUAUUGCUUUUCUGAUAUUUAUUUCUUUGUUUUUAUUGCAAAAAAAGAUUAAGUAAAGAUGAAGAGGAGAAAUUCUACGCAUAAGUGUGGUUGUGCAAUGGAAUUAUACUUAAAGUUAGACGAUCAACGGAAGGCUGACUAAAAAAUCACUGUUAUAUUAGAUUCUUUGCUUUAGUUUAUGCCAUUCAAUUAACUUCUUUUCCAAAUUUGAAGAUACAUCUGUUUGUUUGCUCCUUUCGUUGUUUCACCAUUGGCCUUUAGUUAAAGAAACACACUUGGUUUCUCUCCUAUUGCCGAUCCCUGUGGUCCAAUUUAACAAUGUGGUCAUAUAAAGUACUCUUCAUAUUUAGUCACAUUUCUUCCUUUAGCAUAUGAGAAAAUUACGUUCAAUGUUUUGGCGAUAAAAAUGGAUUUGCUUUUGAUUUGAUGUUUGGAUUCCAUGGGUGUAUUAUUUCAUCAGUAAUGUGUUUCAAUUAAAUCUGUCAUAUCAUCAUUAUACAUGAUUUACAUGAUACAAUAUCCUCUAGUUUCUGUUGUGCUUCACAACCUAUGCUUUACUUCCCAAUGCAUAAGACCCAUGAUCUUAUAAAUUGACUUCUGUUCACCCACUAUUCAAAAAUGCAAAAUAAAACACAGUUUCAUGAGUGUACAUUAUUAUUUAAAAAGACCUUGGUUUGUUUUCAUAACUGCACUGGUAAUUAUAAUGAACGCACAAUGCAUGGGACUGGCUUAACUUUUGUAGAGAUAGUUGUUCAAAAAUUCUAAUGAGAUUCAUUUUUAUGAGCGUGACAUGUCUAAUUAUUAAACAAUUGGUUAGUUUUCGUUGAUGAUAGUGCAAUGAUAUGAGCAUGCAUUUAUUGUCCC